CUUGAAGUUCGAUAAGAUAAACGAAGAGAAAAUGUUCAAGGUCACUCUAGAGGCCAAGAAAGGGUUUAAGAGUAAUGACUAUGUGUUUGGAGAGAUAACCUGGUCUGAUGGGAAACACCAUGUGAGGAGUCCUGUUGUGGUGAAGAAGAUGGAAGUAGCAGCCUAAGGUUGAAGGACACUGACCAGGCGUCUGGAUUUGUAGGUGGAAGGCCAGCGUGUAGAGAUCUAUAUAUCUCCAUGGUCACCAAAUCGAUCUUCAAAUUCCCGUUCCAUGUCAUGACAAGUAUCGAAUGUCACCAAAUCGUGUCAUUUUUUUUAUGCCACUAAUCUAGUGAUUGAACUAAGAAAAUAAAAAUAAAAAUAAAUGGUUUUGUUUUAGAAUAUUUUGGAAUGGUUUUUGGUUUUUAUCUACUUUCUAUUGAUUUUGUUUAGUUGCUUUAGUAUUUUUGUUUUUCUAUUUAUAUGUUAUUUAUGGCUCUGUUUUUUACCUUUUGUUGUGUGACAACUGAUUAGGUUACUGUGCAUUAAGUUUUUUGAGAGUGCAGGUAAUGCUGUGAAGCCUAGCUUACCAUCUUUCAUUUAUUAACAAAAUCUUAUGAUAAAGACAUUCAAUUGUCAUAUCCCUCAAUUGGAGAACAAAAGGAUAUCCAUACAUUUUGUAGGUGUCAAAAAAUAUGAAAGAUCUAUUUAUGUUAUUUAUUUACCUUAGUUUUUUUUUAGGCUUAAUAAUUCUAUCUAGAAAAAUUAUUUCUAGUAUCUAAUUAAUAACAUAUUGCACUGCGAUUAAGCUAACAAUGAAUGAAUUCCCACAAAGAUUUAUCUACUUAUCGUGGCUUUUUUUUUUCUUCUCUUUAGGCUUCAUAAUUGUACCCAAGAAAAUCACAUAUUGCAUUACAAUUAAGUUAAUGAUGAAUGAAUUCCUACAAAGACCUUUUACCGAAGAAUGUGACCAUCUUAAGAGGUAGUAUAACAUCAUAAUUUUCUAAAAUAUCUUAGGUGUUGUUUUUGAACAAGUAUAUCCAAUUCAAACAUAAUAGUAAUAUAUAUUAUUUGGAAAAUUCUACGUUCAAUUUGUUCUUUGUCACUUAACUUUUUUUAUUCUUAAUUUAAUCAUUUCACAUUAAAUUAAUUUAGGAUUGAGUUUAAUGUUUUAUUUCAGUUGGGCUCUAGCGAUAUUAAUAAUAAGUUUUGAUGUUAAGUUGAUGAUUAAUUUGGUAAAAUAAAAUUUAAAUUUAUUGAUUCAAAUCAAUUAAAAUGUCAACGACUUAAUUUUAAACUGUAAAUACUCAGUCUUUUUUUCUUUAAAAAAUAAUAUUUUUAUUUCAACUUUCUAACUCAAUUUUUAAUUGAAACUAACAUAUAUAACGCAUGAAUACAUCAAACUACAGCAACAAAAGAGCAGUCUUUUGUUGUAGAGUAUGAACAUAAAAUUAAACAGUCUUCUCUAAUUUAGAGCAUAAAAUAAAAUCGAUGUGCUAAUAGCUAACCAUAAACAGACAUAUUGAGGAAUUAAACUGCUGGCAUGGUCAUACCCUCCUGUUGAUAUAAUUGGGUCAAAUGGAAUAUUUAUUUUAAGCAAAAGCAAGAAAAAAGUAGUCUAAAAUAUGAUAAAGUAGUAGUAGUUGUGUUAAGCAAAAAGGAAGAAAUGUUGUCUUAUCAUCCCACGUUUUUGCCUGCAUGGACCGACGGAUCGCCUGCGAGAAGAAUGCUUUUUUUUUUUUUAAAGCAUUCUUCUCAUAGGCGAUCCGUCGAUCUAUGCUUGAACAUGUAAGAAAAGUAAACCUAAUGUAUUCUCGGAUCUUUUAUUAUUAUUAUUAUAAAGAAUAAGUUUGAACUCCAUCUUUUUCUAAAAGAAAGGAGAUACGAAUACUAUUACAAAGAAAAAAAAUGAUUGGGAUUUUGAAAUUACUGUAUACCUAGACAUAAUGUAUUGUAAACGGAACAAUAUAAUUAUGUUUUUGCCUUUAUAUAUAGAAAAAAAAAAAACAUUAGACUAGCUAUUGGGAGUAAUACUGAAUUUUUUCAUGGACCAUGUGUUCAUUAUUAUAUUUAUUAGGGACAAUGCAGUCUGUUUACAUUUUUAUAGAACAAUGUAAUGACUAGAAUAACCUUAAAAUCAAAAUAAUUUUAUCUGAAUUUAGAGAUUGACUUGUUUUUUCAUUUUUAUAUGUAUAAUGAGUCUACAUACUUAACCUUGGAUGCAAAUUUUAUUAAACUUGGGAUCGAGGGCUUCUUUGUAUUUUCAUCAUUAUUUUUUAGUUAUAAUAUGGUCAAGUUUGGGGUAACUUGGUAUUUUAGUAAGUGUAAGAAAUAUUUUUUUUAAAAAAAAUGAUUGACGUGUACAACACACACAUUAACGUGUUAGGCGGCAUAUGCGGAUUUAUAUGGUGUUAGAAAAUGGCCAUCCGUGACGGUUAACAAUCCUCUUGGCAUCCCUUUUCUGAUGAAGUGGCGGCGUGUGCAGCGGUGUGGCUCCUACCACUUUUUUUUUUCUUCUCACUUCUCCUUGAAAAACAAGUUACCCAAUCAAAAAUCUAUAUUUUCCUUUUAAUUUUUUUUUUUAAGUUUAUGAUUUAGUUUCCUUUUGAUUAUCUUAUUUUCAUUUUGAUUUUUUUUGAAAACUUUAAAUUUUUUAUUUAUUUUGCCUUUAAUUUAAAUGUUAUUUUUAUUUCAUGUUUGAUUCUCUUUCUUUUGAUUUCUUAUUUAUGUAUUGAUUUUAUUUUUUUUGUAAAAUGUAAGAUUUUUUUCAAAUUCAGCCUAAAAUCAAACAAUGUUAUUUUUAUGCUUUGUCUGUUUUUGUUUAACAUUUGAUCUUUAUUAUUUUAUAUUGCUAUUUUAUUUUAUGGAACCUUUUGUCAAAUUAUUUUUUUUUCUUUCAAUUUCAUCCCUCAAUCUUGGGUUGGUUAGUUAGAAAUUGAGGGUCAUGGUUUUUUUCAAUUGAGUUACACCAGUUUCAUGACUCUGGUAAAAAAUUUAAAAGUUUGGGUCAACUUGGGUGGUGUCGACUUUUUUCCCCCUCUUUUUACACUAAUUUCCUUUUAGUUUUACUCCUUUAAUACUUUAGAUUUGUGAAGUUAUUCGUGUUUUCUUCAAACUCAUUUUUAAAAUCUAACUAGAUUUAUUUCACUCCAUUAUCAUGGUCUCUUGACCUUGAUAGUAAGUUUUUCUAUUUACCUAGGGAUCGCUCUACGUUUUUCUUUUGGAGUUAUCUUUUUAAAAUUGAUUAUUUUUUUCUAGUUUAGUUGUUCAUUAUUUUUCUUUGCAUUUAGGCUCCGUUUGUUUGCAGGAAAGUGAAUUCCUUUUUGAAUUGGAAAGUGAAUUCCGGGAAAGUAUUUUCCGAUGUUUGGUAGUGUUAUGGAAAAUGAACUGGAAAACACUUUCCAGUGUUUGGUUAUGUCAUGGAAAAUGAGCUGGAAAAUAACUUAUUAUAUUUUAUUUUUUUCAAGUUUAUUAAAUAAUGAGGAACAAAUUUACAAUUAAAAAGUUGAAUGAUAAUGAAAUUGAAAAAAAAUAUAAUUUCAUAAAUUAUCUCAAAUAAAACAAAUAAUAAUCAAAUAAUAGGGUCAAAUCUAAAAUUAAAAAAAAAAUGAAAAAUGAAGAAUUAAAUAAUAAUAAUCAACAUUUCAUAAAUUAUUUCAAAUAAAAUAAGUAACAAUCAAAAGAAUGAGGAUCAAAUUUGAUAAAUAAAAAAUUUCAAUAAAAAAUGAUAAGAAAAAAGCAAAUAGCAAUUAUAAAAAUAAGGACAAAGUUAAUAUAAAAUAAAAUUUUAAGAGAUGAAAUUGAAAAAUAAAUAUUCAAAACAAAAUAUAUAUAGUAAUCAAAAGUUUGAGGAUCAAAUUUGAUAUAAUCAGCAAAUAAUGGCAUUUCUAAAUUUUUCACAACUUCCGGAAAGUGUUUUCCCCUCAAAUUUUUCAGGAAAACACUUUCCUGAAAACCAAGCCAAAUUUUCCUUUUACUGGAAAGUGUUUUCCAUUGACCAACUUUCCUACUGGCAAAUAAACACAAGAAAGUUUGGAAAGUGCUUUCCCGGAAACCACUUUCCGGAAAACAAACACAGAUAAAAGGAAAACACUUUCCUGAAAACCAAGUCAAUUUUUUUUUUGACUAAAAUUGACUGGAAAGUGUUUUCCGUUGACUAGAAAGUGUUUUCCGCUGACCGGAAAUUGUUUUCCGUUGACCAACUUUUCUAAUGACAAACAAACACAAGAAAGUUUGGAAAAUGGUUUCCCGGAAACUACUUUCCGAGAAACAAACAAGUCCUUAGCUUCAUAAAUUUGGGAAAAUGAUGAUUUUUUAAAAUAAAAAAAAUACUUUUAUACAUAUAUAUGCAUUUAUAUUAUUUCUUAAAAAAGUGUUAAAAUUAGAACGACAAUUUAUAAUACUUCAAACAUGUUAUUGUUUCAUAGCUCAUCGAACUAGAUAUAUGUUAUAAUAUCUUAAUUACCAGCAUAGAUCAAUCUUAAUUAUAAUCCACCAUAAGUACAAUAACAUGAACAGGCCAUGAAUUAUGACACGGUGGUCUGCAACUGUAUCCUUCUGCUCUUUUGCUCUUCUUUUUCUCGACAAGUAAUUGUUGAGUGGGUCUUUGUAGCCCAGAAACCAACACUUUCUUUUGGGUGUGUGUAUAUAUAUAUUUUAUACUAUACCGCAAGUCUUGGAGACAAUCUUCCACUUUAUUAGCCAUAUAUUUGUGGGUUCCAUAUAAAUUCAACAAGAUCAAUGGCAAUUAGGAUUAUGUUUUGUUAAUAGAUUAAAUAGAUAAUUUGAUUCACGUCAUUUGUCUCUCAAUAUUAGAAUUAAUUACUCGGUUGAUUCUGAAAUUUAAUGAUAACUUUACGGAGUUAAUCUAAUGGUUAAGAAAUCAUGCUUUUAUCUUUAUUUUUUCAGCUAAACAUUUGGAAUUAACAUUCUAAAAAAUCCAUUAAAUUUCUUUAAAUAUAUCGAAUCGAUGUAUUUUUUUUUAAAGAAAAACUUAGUUUUAAUACUGGACACGCUAAAAAAAUAGGGUUUAAAUACUAUGGUGCACAACUUUGAUAAAUGUCGUUAUGAAAAAGCUUAUGCUGUCCACCUUUUCGACAAGCAUGAUACUCCUUUAAUCUUCUUUUCUAAGUAAAACAGGACACCACAGUUCCAUUUAUUUUUCCUUUUUGCUCCAAAAGACAGCUUACAAAGCCCUCCUCUCAUCAAAAGAGGAAGUAAAGUAAGAAGAAAAGGGAGAAAACAACAAUAAUCCCGAUGAUAAAGGGCCUAGCUAGCUACAGUACUGUUCCGUUUUAGGUUCCAGUCUUCUAUCAGUUGUGAGAAAAAGAAAAUGAUUUGGUUAAUGUAUUGCGUACAGCAGAAAAGAGAGGAGAAAACAUCAACAAUAAAAAAAAAAAAAGCAAAACAUUCAAGAACAGUAAUGCGGUGUUAUCAUUGCACUAACUCGUAAUGUAAAUUAUAAUUAGACAGUGAAUCCAGGAUUAAAGAGAACAUGCGUUGGAUCUAUGACGAGGAAAGAACAGAAAAUACCAAUGAAGGCCUUCGUCUAAAUAAAAUGGACAAUACACUGCAUGAAUCCACGGUGUUUUCACUCACAAAGCACAAUAAAUAACUUAGCUGAUUUAUUUAUUUAUUUAUUUUUAUUUUUUUUUUGUAACUGGGUGAUGUUUACGGUAAAAUAAACUGGAUUUCUUGUUUUUCCUUUGUUUUCACCUCUUUGCUGAGGGGAUGGAACUGUUGAAAGCUAAGCUAAUUACUUGUGAUUAAAGUCUUAGAAGAAGAUUACGUAGACCGAAGGAAGAAGGAUGAAAAAAUUGAAGAAAUUCUGUUAAAACAGUUAAAGAGUUAGUUAUAAUCGUUAUGGCAGUUAUAUCAGUUUUUACUGUUACAAAAACUGUUACAAAUCAUUCUUACAUGUGUAAGAAUCGUGACCCUCCAUUAAUGGAUGGAUGAGAUGAUCUUGAUUCCUAAAAUACCGGAAUCAGUUACAUACAAUGUAUAUAAAUGUAGAGUUUGCUGCAUUGAAAAAUAUAUAAAAAAUACACAAGAAUUUCUUCAUAAUCUUCUCUGCACAUUUAAACAUAUUCUUCUUUUUAAAACCUUCAAAAAAUAAACAUGGUAUCAGAGCUUACAAACUGAUUCCAAAGGGGCGUAAACUGUGACAAACAGAUUGAUUAAACUAUUACUUACUCAAAAAAUGGUAGGAUCAAGCUCUGUUGGAGGAGAUUUAAGAACUUCAUAGUUCAAUGGCACAAAUUAUGAUUUUUGGGCUGUAAAAAUGGAGACUAUCCUCAUAGCAUUCGAUCUAUGGGAAGUAAUAGAAGUUGGAAUCAAUUCUCAUCCAUCAUCUAAGGUUGCAACUGGAUCAUGCGAUGAAGAGAGUGAAGUUGAGCAAACUACAUUGCAUGCAUCCACGACAUCCAGAGAAGAAAAAAUCAAGAAUGCAAAGGCAUUAAGCCUUAUACAAGGAGCAUUAACAGAUGACCUCUUCCCACGAAUAAGAAAUGAAAAGACUGCAAAAGGAGCUUGGGACAUUUUGAGUAGAGAAUUCAGAGGAGAUAAAAAGGUUAGAGCUAUAAAACUUCAAGCAGUGAGAGCUGACUUUGAAUACCUGAGAAUGGCAGAAAGUGAGAGCUUAGAUGGAUAUCUAGCUAAAUUCUUUGCAACUGUGAAUAACCUGAAAUCAUUAGGAGAAGAUGUAUCAGAAAAUAGAAUUGUGCAGAAAUUGCUAAUGAGUCUAAGCAGAAGGUAUAAGUCCAUUAUGUCAAUCAUUGAGGAGACACGAGAUCUUGAUGUUCUGAGAGCAAAAGAAGUCAUUGCUUUUGUGAAAGUUUAUGAUAAGAGGGAAGAUCUACAUGAUGAAAGGGAUAAGCUAACAGGAAUAGAGAAAGCCUUUAGCAGUUUAAAGAUUGAAAACAAUCAAGCCUACAGCUCACACAAGUGUUUCCAAGGCAGACAUCCUCAAAGAUGGCAAUCACAAGACAGGAGAGGACCAAAUCCAUUUCCAAACAGAAAUGGAACCAACUAUAAUAAUGCAAGCUAAAACAACACUGCUUGGGGAAGUAGUCAAGCGAGUGUAAAGCCACAAUGCCAAGUCUGCCAGAAGCAACAUUUUGGUUUAUGUAGACACAAAGGAAAACCAAGAUGUGGAAGAUGCAACCGGUUUGGCCAUAUUGCAAAAGAUUGCGAGAGUCGCAGUCACAAACAACUAGCAAAUUAUGCCAAAGAAGAGAGAGUUACCACAGGAACUGUCGCACGUGUGCGACGUUGCGGCGAUCACCCACCACCCCAUGUAUGAAGGUGUGGUAUGUAUCUAUCUAUUGUGAAAAAUAUGGUGAGACAAGGAAUUCUUUGUCUCUUAGCGGUGAAAAAUGGACCGGAAGUCGCCACCUAGUAUUCUAGUUGUUAGGAACCCUAACUGGUCUUUAGAGAUUAGGUACGGAGACUAGUUGCGUAAAGGGAAGGUGUUAACACCCCAACUACUCCCUACCUACGGUAGGUUGCAUUGUUUUGUCUAAUAAAAUCUAAGUCAUGUUGUGGUUUCUUAUUGUUCAGAAUAUGCAUUACGUGUAAUGUCAUACCCCAGGUUCUAUUGUCCGAAAAAAAGAAUUAAAUAUCCGGAAUACACAAUACGUGUAAUAUCAUGCCCCGGAUACUAAGAGAUAAACAAAAUAAAAUUUUUGUUUGUUUUUGAAAUUUUGGCCAAUGUUCUCUUGACUUUAAUAAACUGGUUAUUAAAGCCAAAAUACAUGCAAACAUUGAUUUUUGGUGUAUAUAAAAAACACAAUAUGAUUUUUUAGCUUGGAGACACUUGGCCGUAUGCACAAAAACAUUUUUUUUCUUUUUUUUAAUUUUUUUUUGUAUUUUUGGAAAUUUUGAUGAAAACCGGGUAUUUUAAUAUCGGAUUUUGUAUUUUUAGCAACAUAAAAACACUGCUUGAUGUUAAUCAAAAUGACAUAAAAAAUACACGGAAACUUGUAAAAUUACAAACAAAUAUUUUUUUGAAUUUUUUUUAACAAAAAAAAGGGGCCAAAUUUGGCCCAACCAUCCUGGGCUGGGCCUGACCCGGCCCAUAUAUUGUGGGCUGGACUCAACCUAGCCGUAUGGGCUGGGCUGAUGUUCCAGCCUGUAACCAAUGAAAGGGGUUGGUUACUGUACGCAGCACAGUAACCAGUAAAAAAUAUAAUUAGCUAGUUAUUGUGCUAAAUCUUCAUUUGCUGCAGAACGUAAACGUUUUGCAUGCAAAUGAAGCUGAAGCGAAAAACAGACAGGGGAGGGGAGAAAAUUACCUGGAGCGAUGGCGACGCUGGCGACGCUGGCGACAACGGAUGUGGCAGGGGUGGUGGUGUAGGCGGCGACUAUUCUCUUUCCUUGUCUCCUGUUUCCUCUGUUUCUCUUCUCAGCCACCCUCUCCUCUACCUUUUUUUCAUUGUCUGCUCUUCUUCUCCUCUUUCCCUUUGUGGCUGUCAGUGGCGGUUGGAGAUGGCAGUGUCAGCGGUGGUCAAGUGGUGUGCUAUGGCGGUGGAGAGGAAGCAUGAUGGCAGCUGCGGUUGUUCUUCUCCGGUAUAAAUAUAUUCUUGUCACUUCCCUUUCUCUUCUCUGCCUCCUUUGCCGGUUUCCCUUUCCCUCCUCUGCCUUCCCCAAAUAUUCCCCUCCCUUUUUCUGUAAUACUUCCCUCAGGUGGUUCCAGCUUUCCCUUCUCUCCCAGUCUUUCUCUUUUUCGGUCUCUUUAAUAAACUCUCAGUUCUUUCUCUUGGUUUCCCUUAAAAAUCAUUCCCAGCUUCCUCCCUUUUUCUCCUCUCUUUUCUCCCUUCUUUCGGCACUCCCUCCUCUGGUAUUUAUAGGCAGAGGAGGGGAGGGCCACCUUACCCUUGUCAUGGUGCAGGGUAAGGUGAGCCGGGGAGUUGUUCGCAGGGUAUGGUGCUUUUAGUGCGAGGGCUUGGUGGUGUUAGUGAAGGGACAAGUCGGGUCGUCGUUGGGUUUUCGGGUUUUGGGACAGAGAGAGAGGGGGGAAUAGAAAACAGGGGAAAAAUGCUUCUUCUUCCCUUGCUCUUUGCGUGUGCAGGGGAAGAAGAAAGCUUAUGGUGCCGUUCACAACGACACUGUUUGCCCUUUUUUUUUUUUGAAAAUGCAUGAAACGGCGCCGUUUUGACCAAAACGCGUUGUUUCAUUUAAAUGAAAACAGGCGCCAGAAUGCAUUCAAUUUCAGAUCAGCCCCUCAAUUUGCGCGCUUUUUCAUUGUAGUCCUUGGUUUUGGAUUUCUUCGAUUAAGUCCUUAAUUGGCCACCAGACUUCAAUAUGCAUGCAAUUAAGCCCCUGAUUUGACCCAAUCAACUCUAAAAAAUAUAAUUUGACGUCAGAACUUCAAUUUCUUCCAAUUAAAACCCCAAAUUGACUUUAAAAUCAAAUUUUCUUGCAAUCAAACCCUCCAAUAAUUCAAUUAAACUUUCAAUAAAAUUUAAUUGAGUCCAUAAACAUCUGAUUUUGUACUUUUCUUCCUCUAAUAAAAUUUCCUUAAUAAAAAAGGCUCUCACUGGUCAAUGAUAUACUGUCAAAUUUCAAUUCAUUGAUAUAUUUUUGAUAUAUUUUAUUAUUAUUAUUAUUAAUUAAUUUUUUUAAAAUAAUUUUUUUUCUUGUUUCUUAUACGGGGACCAAAAAAAGGGUUGCAACAGGAACCAUGUUCUAUGCUUGCCAUUCUACAAGUCUGCAAGACAAAAAGGUAUGGUUUGUGGAUAAUGCUUACAACAACCACAUGACCUCUCAAGAAUCCGAACUAAUCAACAUCGAUAGAAUAGUAACCUGCAAAGUAAAGAUGGGCUCAGGAGACCUUGUGCAAGCAACUGGCAAAGGCACAUUGGUUGUAGAAACUCAACAUGGGAAAAGAUACAUAAAAGAGGUACUACUUGUUCCUGGAUUGGAUGAAAACCUAUUGAGUGUAGGGCAUGUGAUGGAGCAUGGUUAUUACAUUCUGUUUGGAGAUAACAAAGCAGUAAUAUUUGAAGAUGAAAGCCUCAACAAUGUUAUAGCAAUAGUGAUCAUGAGAGGAAAUCGAUGCUUCCCACUUUCACUUGAAUCCAUCACACCUGCAGCAAGGAAAGCUUCAGUGACUGAGGAUUCCUGGAUAUGGCAUAGAAGACUGGGACACUUGAAUUUUGCCAGCAUGAAGAAGAUGCAGCAGAAGGAGAUGGUAUGCGGGCUUCCUGUUCUGACAGAAGUAGAAGAUGUUUGUGCAGGCUGUGCAUCAGGCAAACAUCACAGGGAGAAAUUCGACAAAGAGCAAGCGUGGAGAGCAAGUGAUCCACUGGAAUUAAUCCACACUAAUUUGUGUGGACCAAUGCAGAAUGAAUCCAUAGGAGGAAAUAGAUACUUUAUCACAUUCAUUGACGAUUACUCAAGAAUGUGUUGGGUAUAUUUCCUCAGAAACAAAUCUGAUGCACUCAAUGUGUUCAAGAAAUUUAAGGCAUUUAUUGAGUUGCAAAGUGGAUAUAAAUUAAAGAAGCUGAUAAGUGACAGAGGUAAUGAAUAUACUUCAAAAGAGUUUAAAGAAUUCUGUGUAAAACAAGGAACGGAGAGGCAACUGACAGUUUGAUACUCUCCUUAAUAGAAUGGAGUUGCAGAGAGGAGAAAUAGAACAAUUUGUGAAAUGGCAAGAUCCAUGCUAAUAGAGAAAGAAAUGUCAAUAAUCUUCUGGGCAGAAGCUGUGAAUACAACUGUGUAUAUUCAGAAAAGAUGUUACACAACAUCUGUUACUGAAAAGACUCCUUUUGAAGCCUUUACGGGAAGGAAGCCAGGAAUCAAGCAUCUAAAGGUGUUCGGUUGCUUGUGCUACACACAUAUCCCAUCAUCACUAAGGCAGAAAUGGGAUAGCAAAGCUGGAAAGAGAGUGUUUGUUGGGUAUGGUAGCUGUGAGAAAGGGUAUAGAAUAUAUGACCUGAAAACUGAGAAGAUUGUUCUUUCAAGAAGUGUGAUUUUCAGUGAAGAUAGAGCAUGGAAUUGGGAAAGAAAUUUGAUGAACCAAAGCCACUUGUCUUUCAAUCAUGAAGGGGGUGAAGUUGAAGGUGAAAAUUCUGAGGAACACUCUGCUGCAGUCCAACCCGAUAAUGUUGAACAUUGCAAUCAAAAUUCUACAGUUGGAGAGUUAGUUGAGAAGAUUGACAGUGAUAACAGUCAACAAUCUUCACCGAGCUCUACUCUAGUAAAAUUAAAAACCUUGGAAGACAUACAUGCAAGGUGUCACAUGUGCAUCAUAGAACCUGAGAACUAUCAAGAAGCUUUUGGAAAUAAAGCCUGGCAGAAAGCUAUGAAGGAAGAAUUGGAAGUGAUAGAGCAGAACAAUACUUGGGAAUUGGUGGAGAGACCAAGUGAUAAAACUGUGAUAGGAGUGAAAUGGGUGUACAAAACUAAGCUUCAUCUUGAUGGAACAGUUCAAAAACAUAAGGCUCGCCUUGUAGCAAAAGGAUAUGCACAAAAAUCCAGAAUUGACUAAAAUGAAACAUUUGCACCAGUAGCAAGGUUAGACAUAAUCCGGACUCUCAUUGCACUUACAACACAAAAGGGGUGGAAAUUGUUUCAAUUGGAUGUUAAAUCAGCAUUCCUAAAUGGUGUUCUUAAAGAAGAAGUAUAUGUUGAGCAGCCUGAAGGGUUUGAAGUAAAGAAUGCAAGACACAAAGUUUACAAACUAAAGAAGGCCUUGUAUGGAUUAAAGCAGGUACCGAGGGCCUCGUAUAGUGAAAUUGAUGCAUACCUCUCUAUGUGCAAAUUCAAAAGGAGCACAAGUGAAGCUACUUUGUAUACAAGAUCAGACAUGGAAGGUAAUUUGAUCAUUGUCUCAAUCUAUGUUGAUGACAUUGUGUACACUGGCAGCAAUGAGAGGAUGCUCAGUGAAUUUAAAAAGGAAAUGAUGCAAAGGUAUGAGAUGUCUGAUCUUGGAAUCCUUUAUCAUUUUAUUGGCAUGAGAAUACUACAAACCAAUCAAGGGGUGUUUAUUCAUCAAGGGAAAUAUGCCAAAUCCCUGCUUAGUAAGUUUGGACUUGAUGAUUGCAAACCAGUCUCCAUUCCCUUGGCCACUGGUGAGAAGCUGAAGAAGGUGGAUGGGAGUGAGUUGGCUGAUGAAGAACUUUAUAGAAAAAUAACAGGAAGUUUACUAUAUUUGACAGCUACAAGACCUGAUCUAAUGUAUGUUGCAAGUUUAUUAUCACGGUUCAUGGCUGGACUUACCAAGAUUCACAUGGGAGCUGCAAAAAGAGUUCUAAGAUAUGUGCAAGGAACUCUCAGCUAUGUGAUUGAAUAUGUAAGGGAUCAAUCAGCAACUCUCAUUGGAUUUUAUGAUGCAGAUUGGGCAAGAAGUAAAGAUGAUAGCAAGAGCACUUCGGGCUAUGCAUUUAGCUUUGGAAGUGGAGCAUUCUCCUGGUCUUAUAUGAAACAAAACACAAUAGCAUUAUCAACUUUAGAAGCUGAGUAUGUCUCAGCAUCUGAAGCAACUACUCAGGCCAUUUGGUUACGGUUUGUUCUUGAUGAUUUUGGUAAAAUGCAAGCUAAGGCAACACCCUUGUUCUGUGAUAAUAUGUCAACAAUUUCAAUGGCCAAAAAUCUAGUUUUUCAUCAAAGAACAAGACACAUAAACAUGAAGUAUCAUUUCAUAAGGGAGGCUUUGCAAGAAGGAGUAAUUAAUGUGAAGUUCUGCAGAAGUGAAGAACAACUUGCAGACAUCUUCACAAAAGCACUACCCAGAGACAGAUUCAAGAAACUAAGACUAAAUCUUGGAGUUAAAUCAGUAAACAGCUUAGGAGAUGUUGCUGAAAGCUAAGCUGAUUACUUGUGAUUGAAGUCUUAGAAGAAGACUACGUAGACUGAAGGAAGAAGGAUGAAGAAAUUGAAAAAAUUCUGUUAAAACAGUUAAAGAGUCAGUUAAAAUUGUUAUGACAGUUAUAUCAGUUUUUACUGUUACAAAAACUGUUACAAAUCAUUCUUACAUGUGUAAGAAUCGUGACCCUCCAUUAGUGGAUAGAUGAGAUGAUCUUGAUUCCUAAAAUACCGGAAUCAGUUACAUAUAAUAUAUAUAUAAAAGCAGAGUUUGCUGCAUUGAAAAAUAUAUAGAAAAUACACAAGAAUUUCUUCAUCUUCUCUGCACAUUUAAGCAUAUUCUUCUUCUCAAAACCUUUAAAAAAAUAAACAGGAACUGUGGUGCUGCUCAAGUCAUUGUCAAACAAGUGAGACAAGCAUUAAAGAACUCUAAAACGCGUGGGAAAAUCACUGUAGCAGCUGUGAUUUUUUUUUUUUUUUUUUAUAGAAGGUAGUUUUUUUUUUUUUACAUGUUUUUUUUUUUUUUUUUCCUGUAGCAGUUUUUUAACUAUAGCUUAUUAUUAUUUUUUUUUUUUUGCUUUUGUUUCUUCUUUUUUUUGUUACAUGUUUUUUUUUUUUUUACCUAAAAUUGACUUCUUUGUCUUUGUUUUUUUUCUUUUUUUUAAUUUUUUUUUCAAAAUUAUCUUUACUAAUUUUUUUAAAUAUUAAGCUGGUUAAAAAUUUAACUAUAUAGUUUUUUUCUUUAAAACAUUGUGGAUUGCUAUAAUAUUCUCAUACAUUGGUUUUUUUUCUUUUUAUGAUUUCUUUAGAAGAGCUCGAGACAUAUAUGAAAUAUCAACAUCUAAUCUCUGGUAUUGGAUAAAGCUUUCAGUAUGUGGAGAACAAUCAAACGAGAAUUGACAGGGAAUUGAGUGAUCAUGUUAAAGUUACGGAGCAUGCGAAGAAGAGGCCCACUGAGGCCAGAAAGCGCAGCUGGAGAUAAAAAUGGUCAGGAAAGUAAAGGAGGGAAGAAAAAGCUCUCUCUGGUUCUUCCUCGAACAGUAAGUAGUCUUCUUUUUUUUUUUUACCAAAAUUCCUCUCCUCUGGACUGAUCAUCCACCUCUCAUCGGUUCCAUGCUGUUUUUUUUUUUUUUUUUUUCAUAAUUAUAUGUCCACUGUACUAAAUCACCUCGUUUGAUCCCACAGCUUCACCCCUCGACUUGAUUUCGAAUAUGGUGAAGAUGAGUCAAGGGAUCCUCCUCUAGCAUUGGAUGCUUUGCGAUGUUGAUUUCGAUGGCUUACACAUGCUGUCUGCUCAUAAUUUCUUAUAUUCGUUUCAACAAUAAGAUUACGCCGAGUAAUCUCCAUCCCUCGAAAUCAUAGUAUUGCCCGAGUCAAAAAGCAUGAUUGAUUACCGAGCAAUACUAUCUCGACCACUGCAAAACACACUCUUGAAUUCCUGAAAAGCAGCAUGUCCUCGUGUAGGGCAUUACUACAUGCAUGAAAGUAUUAAGAAACCGGGAUCUUUGAGUAGAUCUUUCAAGUGGGAUAGGACCCACUUAAAAAAAUAGCAAGGCAAAAUUGAGGCCCAUGUGUAAGCAUACAAGGACAUCCAUUAAAGCCCAUGAGUAGAUCUUUCACUAAUUUUUAUUUAUCAAUUUUCCCAUAAAUUAUCUUGAUUUUCCAGUUCCCGUUAAAAUUAUUUAAUGAAAAACGUUAAGUACUUGUAAAAUGAUGCUAUUUUUUUAAUAGAAAAAAAGUGCAAUUUAGAAUAUAUUUUUUAAUAAAAACAUAAUUGAAAAGCCUUAAAGAUGAAUGCAAGUCGUUAACAAAACAAGUAGUUUUUAAAGUUUAAGAGUAAAAUCAGUAUGCAAAAUUAUGUAAUGACAAAAUUAAGACUAUUGAGAGUGUUUCUGAGACUUCGGCUUUUCUUCUUUGAAGCUUCGACGUAAGUGCUUUGGAGGGUGAGAGAAAUGGAGGAGAGAAGGGUUGACUAGCUGUAAACCAAUUAUUGACCCAGAGGGGUUCCUUUUGAGGUCACCAAAUUUCCACGAAAGAGAUGAAAUCACCUAUAAGCCCAAGCUCAAAGGUUACAGAAUGUAAAAAAAGGCAAGCUAAUCGUUGUUCUCUUAUUGAGCAAAAAGCAAAGCAAACAUGGGCAGGAGGACAGCUUCUUGCUCUCUGUUUCUGUUUUUCACUCUUUUCACAACCUUGCAGAGUCCAAUUCUGGCUGCAAAAAAGGCAAGCUAGCAUGCAUUAAUGUUGUCUGAUCGUUUAGUCUUUCAAGUUACAUUUGCAAUCUCUCUUAUGUUAUAAUUCUGCUACUGACAGUGAUACCCGUGUCUGUGUACGUGCAGUCUUAUGUGGUUUACCUUGGGAGACAUUCUUAUGCUUCUGAACCUUCCACCACUGACCUGGAUAGGGUAGCCGAUGCCCAUCAUGAACUUUUGGGUUCUUGUAUGAAGAGGUGGUGAUGCAGUCCUGAAUAUUUCUGCUGUGUGAUCAGUGCUGUAUUUGGUUGUUCUAAUACUGAUGAUUAAGUUUGAACUCGUUAUGACAGCAAGGAGAAGGCGAAACAAGCCAUCUUUUACUCCUACACUCGCUAUAUCAACGGUUUUGCAGCAGUACUUGAAGAUGAAGAAGCAGCUGAGAUUUCAAGUAUAUAUAAUACUAUUAAAAUUGUUCAGCUUGUAUAUCGUGCAAUCCUUGGUACUAUUACAAUUAUGGUCUUGUUAAUACGUUUUCAGAGCAUCCAGAAGUUGUAUCAGUUUCUCGAAACCACAUAAGUCAAUUACACACAACAAAUUCUUGGGGCUUUCUUGGACUGGAAAGAAAUGGAGAAAUUCCAGCUGAUUCUAUGUGGCUAAAGGCAAGAUUUGGCGAAGACGUAAUUAUCGGGACCCUUGAUACUGGUAAUUAUAAUUUUACAUGUCUGUGUACAUGCGUAGAACUGGUCAAGUCUCCUUCAUAUCAUUUCAUCUUCUUAAUUUAAAUGUUUCUUGCAUUCAAUUAUUUUGGACCAGGUACAGCUACAUUGCAUCUGAAAGAAAAAUCUCCAAUGAUGGUAAAUUUUUGAUCUAUUUUUCUUGACUGUGCAUGACGCUAGGUGUUUGGCCGGAAUCCGAAAGCUUCAAUGAUGAAGGGAUGGGGCCUGUUCCAUCUAAAUGGAAGGGAUACUGUGAUCCAAAUGAUGGGAUUAAAUGCAACAGGUACUUUAAUUUCUUUCUCAAGGCCAGAGCACUUUUCUUGACCCGAACUACUCAUUUUGCCUCUGAUAAUGAACCGCAGACAAAUUCUUCUGUUUCCUAUAGUAAGAUCAGUAACAUAAAAGAUAUGUUGUUAUUAGCAGGAAACUUAUAGGAGCAAGGUACUUUAGCAAAGGCUACGAAGCAGAAACACAUGAUUCUUCAAACCACACCGCGCGAGAUUAUGAUGGCCAUGGAACCCACACUCUAUCCACUGCUGGAGGUCGUUUUGUUUCGGGGGCAACCUUCCUUGGUUCAGCUUAUGGAACAGCUAAGGGAGGUUCGCCCAACUCGCGAGUCGCUUCAUACAAGGUCUGCUGGCACGGCUGUAGCGAUGCUGAUGUGUUGGCUGGCUAUGAAGCUGCUAUUCAUGAUGGGGUCGAUAUCCUCUCCGUGUCACUUGGAUCCGAUCCGAGAGAAUACUUUACUCAUGGGAAUGCAAUUGGAGCAUUUCUUGCAAUGGAGAACGGGAUUGUUGUAGUUGCCGCCGCUGGAAAUGAUGGACCUGACCCUGGAGUCGUUGGGAAUGUAGCUCCCUGGAUUCUUACAGUUGCUUGUAGCACUAUCAGUAGGGAGUUCACAUCUAAUGUCAUCCUCGGAAAUAACAAACAAUACAAGGUUCGUUCUGUAAGCUCAUAUCUUUAGCAAGUCCUUGUAAAUUGUUCUACCUAUCAUGGGAUCCAAGAAUUUGCUAUAUUAAUUUCUAGAUAAUCAGGGUAUGAGUUUUAAUACCAACACUCAACCAGCUGGGAAGUUUUACCCCUUGAUCAAUUCGGUGGAUGCUAAAGCUGCCAAUGUUUCCAGUAAUCAAGCGUAAGCAGCAAACUAAUUUUGUUCUCGGCCAAAAUUAUAUUUUCUGUGCUUGUUAGGUUCAUAUUUCUUAUCUUGUUGUCUUUGGCAGAAAAUAUUGCUCCAUCAGAUCCCUUGACCCCUUGAAAGUUAAAGGGAAAAUUGUAUAUUGUACUCGCAACGAAGAUCCUGAUGUAGAAAAGAGUCUGGUUGUUUCUCAAGCUGGUGGUUUUGGGGUGAUACUUGCUAAUCAAUUGAUAAUUCAACAAAUCCGACCUCGAGCACACUUUGUUCCUACUUCCGUUGUCUCUGCAGACGAUGGACUUUCCAUUUUAACUUAUGUCUAUAGUACAAAGUAAGGUCUACGUUAAUAGAUAUUUCAGACAAUUAAACUUUGUUGAUUUCAGUCGAUAAUGCCCUGAACAAUCUAUCGUUUGCGAUCCUGUGAAUCUCUUGGAACUUCUCUUUUCACUCAGGUCACCUGUAGCUUACAUAAGUGGCGCCACGGAGGUGGGAACAGCGGCUGCACCUGUCAUGGCUGAUUUUUCAUCUCCCGGGCCUAACUUCAUCACCCCAGAGAUCCUUAAGGUACGUACUCUUAACAGUUUCAAAUGAGCGUUUUAAAAUAUUAUUUUUAUAGUGAGAGUGCAUGUGAUGAUUUCAGCCCGACAUCACUGCACCUGGAGUCAAUAUUCUAGCUGCCUUCACCGGAGCAUCAGGGCCAACUGAUGAGCCAGGAGACCGGCGCCGAGUACAUUUCAACUUUUUAUCUGGAACCUCAAUGGCAUGCCCCCAUGUUUCCGGAAUCGCAGGUCUUCUGAAGACUAUGCACCCUGAUUGGAGUCCUGCUGCAAUUAAAUCUGCAAUCAUGACAACGGGUUAGUGCUUUUCUGCUCUUCGCAUUAGCAUCUCCUAGUUAUUGAUGGACGAGUCAUUGAUAGCUUGAGUGGUUGCUUAUGACAUUUCAGCGACAACGAUCAGUAAUGUGAAGCAGCCUAUUGCAAAUGCUUCUCUUCUUGAGGCAAACCCAUUGAAUUAUGGUGCCGGGCACAUCUGGCCUAGCCGUGCAACGGACCCAGGCCUGGUCUAUGACCUAACGACUAAAGAUUACGUGAAUUUUCUAUGCUCCAUUGGCUAUAAUUCAACCCAGUUGUCACUUUUUAUUGGGAAGCCAUACAUAUGCCAGCAGCACAAUGGCCUGCUGGAUUUCAACUAUCCAUCCAUUACUGUCCCGAAUCUCUCAAGCAACAAGACCACGUUGUCCCGAACCUUGAAGAACGUGGGGACUCCAAGCUUGUAUAGAGUUAAUAUCAGGGCACCUGGAGGCAUAUCUGUGAAGGUUGAGCCAAGAAGCUUGAAGUUCGAUAAGAUAAACGAAGAGAAAAUGUUCAAGGUCACUCUAGAGGCCAAGAAAGGGUUUAAGAGUAAUGACUUCGUGUUUGGAGAGAUAACGUGGUCUGAUGGGAAACACCAUGUGAGGAGUCCUGUUGUGGUGAAGAAGAUGGAAGUAGCAGCGUAAGGUUGAAGGACAGUACUGACCUGGCGUCUGGAUUUGUAGGUGGAAGGCCAGCGUGUAGAGAUCUAUAUAUCUCCAUGGUCACCAAAUCGAUCUUCAAAUUCCCGUUCCAUGUCAUGACAAGUAUCGAAUGUCACCAAAUCGUGUCAUUUUUUUAUGCCACUAAUCUAGUGAUUGAACUAAAAAAAUAAAAAUAAAAAUAAAUGGGUUUGUUUUAGAAUGUUUUGGAAUGGUUCUUGGUUUUUAUCUACUUUCUAUUGAUUUUGUUUAGUUGCUUUAGUAUUUUUGUUUUUCUAUUUUUAUGUUAUUUAUGGCUCUGUUUUUUACCUUUUGUUGUGUGACAACUGAUUAGGUUACUGUAUAUUAAGGUUUUUUAGAGUGUAGGUAAUUCUUUGAAGCCUAGCUUACCAUCUUUCAUUUAUUAACAAAAUCUUAUGAUAAAGACAUUCAAUUGUCAUAUCCCUCAAUUGGAGAACAAAAGGAUAUACAUACAUUUUGUAGGUGUCAAAAAAAUAUGAAAGAUCUAUUAAUGUUAUUUAUUUACCUUAGUUUUUUUUAGGCUUAAUAAUUCUAUCUAGGAAAUUAUUUUCUAGUAUCUAAUUAAUCACAUAUUGCAGUGCGAUUAAGCUAAUGAUAAAUGAAUUCCCAAAAGAUUUAUCUACUUAUCGUGGUUUUUUUUUCUUUAGGCUUCAUAAUUGUACCUAAGAAAAUGACAUAUUACAUUACAAUUAAGUUAAUGAUGAAUGAAUUCCUACAAAGACCUUUUACCGAAGAAUGUGACCAUUUUAAGAGGUAGUAUAACAUCAUAAUUUUCUAAAAUAUCUUAGGUGUUGUUUUUGAACAAGUAUAUCCAAUUCAAACAUAAUAGUAAUAUUAUUUGGAAAAUUCUACUUUUAAUGUAUAAUAAGAAUAGUUGAUAAUAAAAAAAAUUAAACCUUCUAGUGAAUUUAAGAUGAUUUGAGAAAUAAGAACAAGAUCCUAAAUUAACAAGAUUCCAAGACCCGCUCCACAAUCACAACUAAAAAAUCCAAUUAAAAACACAUGAGGUUGUGGCCUAGUGGUUGAAGGGACUUGUUCCCUUCCUCCACACCAGGGUUCAAGCCUCACUUGUGUAUACCUGUCACCCCCGCGGUGUAUUACAUGCUCACUGGGCUUGCAGGAUAUUCAGUGAACCUGGAGAUUAGUUGUGGUGCGCUCAAGUUGGCCCGGACACCCCGUGUUACCAAAAGAAGAAGAAGAAGAAGAAGAAAAUAGAUAAUAUAUAACAAAAACAAGAGGAAAAGGUGAUAAAGAAAGGGAUUUGAGGGAGAGUAUUACCUGAAAUUAUAGGGAUUCAAGGAAGCUUCAAUCUUGAUUUAUGCAAAGUGGAUCUGUACGAGGUUUAUUUUUUGUUAAAGAAAGGGAAGUCUUUUUCGGAGCUAAGAAGAGGGAAACACUUUUCUUUUAGGAAAUACUUAUUUUUUUCUUUAGUUGAAAACUACCAUUCUAGAGUUUACCGAACAUGAAAAAGUUUUGGAAAAUAACUUAUUGAAAAGUUAUUUCCAUAAAACAAACAAGGCCUUAAUGUUAAGAUAUACCAGUGUCCCAUAGGACAUCUUAGUAAACUAAAUGUAAAAAUUGUUAAAAAAUAAAAAAAGUUCUAGGUAAAGAGCUGGUUAUAUGAUAGAGAAGAUAACAAUCACCCUAUACAUUCUAUCUAAAGUAAGUUGCUUCAUAUUUAUUUUUAAUGAUAAAGGUGUAUAAUAUGUUUACGCGCUAAGAGUUUGUCUAAAUUGGCAUAUGCUCAUUUGUUAUUAAGGAUAAAUACUAUUAUGACUUAAGAUAGUGAUUUAAGACUUGGACUUGGUAACAAGGAACACUUUUCACUUUGAAAAAACGAGCAUUAGACCCGCAGGGAAGGUGAGAAAUUGAUAAGUAUAAACCUGUUCAAGAUUCUGUUGAUUGAAAUGGGUCCAAAAACUAUCCCUCACACUCAAUAGGCCUAUAUGUGAUCAUAUCGAUCCAACCCAAAUUCGCUCGUCGCAUCAAAAAAAGGUAUUCCAAAAAAAAAUCAAUAUGAAAAUAAAUUCGUACACAUCUACAUGAACAUAUAAAAUUCAAAUAAUAGGAUAUUUAUAAAUAAUAUUAACGAGUUAAACUUAAAGUCAAGGUUUUACAAAUAUAGUCGAGACCGAAGCCUCUGACCUAGGUUAUGGCGGAAUUCUUAAACAAGUUCAAGAUGACAAAGAGCAGAUCCUCGAAUGCACAUCCGCCCACUAGAAUGAUUGCCAGAAAAGUACUCUACUAUAUAUAUAUAUAUAAAGAGAUCCUUUCAAUUGUUUUCUAUAUUAAAAAAUUUCAAAGUGAUUUACUAAAUCAAAAAUUUCUUUUAUGUGUUGAUUGCAAAUCCGCAAAAGAAGUUCUAUAAAAAGAUGUCCAAAAUCUUGCUUCAAAAUAGAUUUUUGCCAGAUGGCAAGCUAUUUUAAGCAUUUUUUAUUUCAAUAUUGUCUACAUUAAAGGAGAUUCAAAUUUCAUUCCUGAUUUCUUAACCUGAGAAUUCCUUCAAAAUAGGUCUUGAUGCCUCUGAAAGCAAAGGCCAAAGACAAGAGAAAAGCCCCUCAAACCCAACCUACAAAACCAGAGAGCCCCAAACCCUCUAUAAAACAAUGUCUUCAGCUAUCUUAGCUGCCAAACCAAUCAAAUCCUCGUAUGAGGCAGUUAUUAAAGAAGAAGAAACUACAAAAACCCCAACAGGUACAAACAGACGCAGUUCAACAUUGGGUUGACACUAUAUCCAAAUCACCAUAAUUACUCCUGGCAUUACAAAAAGUGUCUCAACAGACCUCCGGUGACUCCGUAUCUCAAACAGGUAGUAUUUUUCAAACCACUUUCAAAACCAUAAGGAGGUAUUUCUACUUCAAAACCCCUCAUUUCUUUACAACAAACUAGUUUUCUAAAAACCAAAUCCAAAUAUAUUUUCAAAACUACUUUCCAAAAUAUUUUAACUAUGGAGGAAGGAUUUUAUCAUGAAAACCCUUUCAUUGCUUCUUCCAAAAUUUUCCCUUCAAAUUGGUACUACAAACCCUGGAAUUUAGCCAAACCACAAUCCUAUUAUGCCGUAAUCCUUGAGAUUACUAAUUCUAUCAAGUUCAAACACUUCAAACUUCAUUCUGAUCACACUGAACCGGCAUAUUCUACAUGUAUCAUUCACAAAGUCAUUCACCCUAAAGACUUGGGUCAACCCUUACAUCAACAUCUUUCCUUCCCCAUACACUUCUGUACAAACCCCUAGGACUUCAAUACUUCCUAUACAUAUUGGGAUUACCAACAGGCAUGGUUCAAUGCCUUCCUCCUAUAAAAUCCAAACCAUAGUCAUUCUUGGCUUUUCUACUUCCAUAAUGACAUGAAUACUACAAACCUCCCCCUCUGGUUCCUCCAAUGGUGGGACUAUUAUGGUUGUCAUGUUGACUACCUCAAAGGCCAUCCUCUGGUUGAAAACGGCUACCUCCAUUUCAAAAAUAAUUUUUAACCAGCUUCUUCUGAAAGGAAGUUCUCUUCCUUGCUCAUUUUCUGUACAAAUUUUUUUAUGUCAUGGGUAUGUUUGUGGUUCUAUGAUUAUAAUUGUCGCACGUAAAUGCGGCGUCACGGCGAAAAACUAAGUUUUCCAUUUUUAAAACCACAAUGUAAUAUAUAUAUGGGGAUACGAGAAAAUAUUAUUUUUUUUUUGGUAAAAAUGGAAUGGGAGUCGCCACCUAGUAUUUUGGUCACUAGGAACCCUAACUGGUCUCAGAGAUCGGGUACGGGGACUGGUUGCGUAAAGGGAAGGUAUUAGCACCCCAAGUACGCCUUACCUAAGGUAAGCUGCAUUGUUCUAUUGUCUGAUAAAAGCUAUGGUGUUUUUUUUUUUUUCUAGUCGUUGGUCUGUCUAUGGUUCAAGAAAAAUCCUCCUCAGUAAGAAGGUCUUUUAUCUUAUCGGGUAAAAACUUAACCGUUCUAACGUCUACCAAAAAGAUAAUAUUUAGGAAUACGUUUUACGUAUAAAUUCGUAAUCCCAAAUACUAAAAGAAAACAAAAAGAUUUUUUAGAAUUUUUGAAAUCUUGGCCUAGUUCUCAUGGCUUAAAUAAACUGGUUAUUCAAGCCAAAAUGCAUGCUAAUACGUACAUUGUUUUGAAAAUUUUCUUUGUUGUGUAAAAAAAAUGAUGUUAUAAUAUUUAUAUCUAUAUAUAUUGGAGAGACUAAGCCGUAUUUUAAAGACAAAAACAAUUUUUGAAAAUAUUAUUAUUAUUAAUUCUUUUUUUUUUUGCUUUUUUUUGACGUAAAUCGGGUAUUUAAAUACUGAGCUUGUAUCCUUACGGUAUAAAAAUACAACCCAAUAUUAUUCCACCUUAAUAAAAAAUGCAGAAAAAUCAACAACAUUUUUAGGUAUUUUUUUAGAAAUUUUUUUGAAAGCAAAAACAUUUUUUAUUCGAAAAAUCUUUGAUAUUUUUACGAAAACCGGGUAUUUUUAACACUGGUUUGAUAUCUUUACAGUAUAAAAAUACCAACCAACAUUAACCCAUUUUGACAAAAAUAUUCAGGGAAAUCAACAAUAUUUUUUAAGAUUUUUCGAAAUAUUUUUUUUUUAGUAAAAAAAAAUAUACACAAUAUACACACAUAUAUAUUACAAUAUACUAUAAUUAAUAAUAUAUUUAUAAUAAAAAUUCGGGUUGGGCCGGACCAAAUGAAUGGGCCGAACCCAACCCAGCCGGAAUCGGGCCCAACAUCAGCCCGAAACAGGAGUGGGCCGAUCGCAGCCCAGCAAAAGGCUGGGCCGAUCUCGGCCCGCAAGGAGGUUGGGCCGAUCUCGGCCCAACGAAAGGCUGGGCCGAUCUCGGCCCGCAAGGAGGUUGGGCCGAUCUCGGCCCAACGAAAGGCUGGGCCGAUCUCGGCCCGCAAGGAGGUUGGGCCGAUCUCGGCCCAACGAAAGGCUGGGCCGAUCUCGGCCCGCAAGGAGGUUGGGCCGAUCUCGGCCCAACGAAAGGCUGGGCCGAUCUCGGCCCGCAAGGAGGUUGGGCCGAUCUCGGCCCAACGAAAGGCUGGGCCGAUCUCGGCCCGCAAGGAGGUUGGGCCGAUCUCGGCCCAACGAAAGGCGGGGCCGAUCUCGGCCCGCAAGGAGGUUGGGCCGAUCUCGGCCCAACGAAAGGCUGGGCCGAUCUCGGCCCGCAAGGAAGUUGGGCCGAUCUCGGCCCAACACAAGGCUGGGCCGAUCUCGGCCCGCAAGGAAGUUGGGCCGAUCUCGGCCCAACACAAAAAACAUCUUUAGCCUGGGCCAGACUCGGUCUGGCCCAAAAUGAAUAACAACAAAACUGGGCCGGAAACCCGGCCCAGUGUUAAAAAAAACUCAGCGGGGAAGGGAAAACAGUUCCCUUCCCCUACCUCCUGCAUGCAGAACGAUUCUGCAUGCAGGAGGACAAACAGAAAAAAAAAAGUGCAGGGGGUGGAGGAAAUACCUGGCACGGCGGAGGAAAUACCCGUGUUGAUGGUGCUGCAGCAAAGUUGGUGGCUCCCAAGCGACGGUGCUUAACAGUCGGGUGUCCUCUCGGGUCGUGUCCGGUUAACGUUUUCUCUAACUCUCCCCACGGCUUCAGUCUUCUUCCCCUCCUCCCCGUGCUGUUUCUUCGAGUUUUAGGUGUUUAGUUCUACUGUUUAAGUCGUCUCUCUCUCCUCCAGUUUCUCUCUCUCUCUUGGUCUUGGUCUCCCCCUUUUUUCUCCUCUUUUCUCCCCCGUGCUUCACAUCUUUCCCCUUCUUUUAUAGGCGGGCAAAGGAGCGGGGCUGCAUAGGCAGCGUGGGGAGCAGAACAAGGUGGGUCGAGCUGGGCAACGUGGGGGGCAGCGCCGGUCGGCUGGUCGGUGAGCGUGGUUGAUCACGGCGUGGCCCUCCUGGCUUCGCGUCGUCCGAGGUGCAUGGGCCUGGUCUGUCAGUGCACGCGAGGAGAGAGGGGCACCGGUUGAUUAAACAACGGUUUCGUCCAUGCUGCUGCACGUUCGGGGAGGAAGAAGAAAGGAGAACAGUGCCGUUCAAAACGGCACCGUUUGGUCCCCUUUUUUUUUUUUUUUUUUUUUUUUUAAAAUAUAUGAAACGGCGUCGUUUUGGGGAAAACGCGCCGUUUCAUUUAAAAAAAGGCGCCAGAAUACGCAAAAUUUCAACUCAGCCCUCAAUUAUCUUUUGAUUCCUUCAAUUGCGUCCCUGCCAAUUUCGGUCCUCGCCCCCAUAGUUGGCCGCGUUUUUCAUCUUGGUCCUUGGCCUCUGAUUUAUGCAAUUAAGCCCUCAAUUGACCAAUAAACUUCCAAUUUCUUCAAUUACGCCCCUGGAUCAAAUCAAGACAGCCCCCUCUAUUUACCCGCGUGUUCCAAAUUGGUCCCUGGUUUCGGAUUUUCACAAUUAAGCCCCUAAUUGGCCAUUAAACUUCAAUAUUUAUGCAAUUAAGCCCCUGAUUUGGCCUAAUAAAUUCCAAAAAAAUAUAUUUUGGCCCCAGAACUUAAAUUUCUCCCAAUUAAAACCCAAAUUGACCUAAAAAUAAAUUUUUCUUGCACUCCAAUCCUCUAUAAAUUCAAAUAAAAUCCAAUUAAGUCCCUAAACAUCCAAAUUUGGGCUUUUCUCCUCAAAAAUUCAAAUUUUCCUUCUCAACAGGGCUCUCAUCCUUCAAGAAAAUAUUGCCAAAAAUCCAAUCUCUGUAUUUUUAACCUCCGUGACCAAUCUUUCGACCAUUUUCUGAGCGCUUAUGCCUCCUGUUAUUUUUUCUAACCUUCUUCGGCUAUUUAUUUAUUAUUAUUUUUUUGUGGGGAUCCAAAAAUGGGUUACAACAGAUGCCCCCUCUUUAUAAUGCUUACGGAGCAAAGGCGUAGUAAGUUUUAUAAAGAUAACCCAGUCUGAACUCCUGAAACUGAUUUGGUCGAAGCUUAAUCGAUCUGAAAUUCUUUCUUUACAGCAAUCCUCUUCGGCCUCAAAUAUUGGGAUCCCAUCUGGCGAUUCCCUGAACAUAGAAAAUAUGAGGUCCCCUCUGGCGACCUCUUUUGACAAUUAUCGAAAUACGAGAUCCCUUCUGGCGAUCUCCUUUAAUCAACUUGGAACCCCAUCUGGCGAUUCCUAUAUGAAAUAUGAGAUAUGAGGUCCCAUCUGGCGGCCUGCAAGUAGUGAAACACGAGAUCCCUUCUGGCGAUCAACCUGGAAUCCCAUCUGGCGAUUCCUUUUUAACCAAAAUGAAAUAUGAGGUCCCGUCUGGCGACCUUCGAAUAGUGAAACACGAGAUCCCUUCUGGCGAUCUCCUUUAAUCAACUUGGAAACCCAUCUGGCGAUUCCUUUUUAACCAAGAUGAAAUACGAGGUCCCAUCUGGCGACCUCCGAAUAGUGAAACACGAGAUCCCUUCUGGCGAUCUCCUUUAAUCAACUUGGAAUCCCAUCUGGCGAUUCCUUUUUAACCAAAAUGAAAUACGAGGUCCCAUCUGGCGACCUCCGAAUAGUGAAACACGAGAUCCCUUCUGGCGAUCUCCUUUAAUUAACUUGGAAUCCCAUCUGCGAUUCCCCUUUUUCCAAAAUGUUAUCGACGUCGCUCUUCCUGCUGGCGGGUUUUGACAAUUACUUUCUCUUCUUGUUGUUCUAACGGUUCAUUAUUCGUCCCCAUUCUUGUUGGAAUGCACUAAGAUCUCCUCCUGUAACGAUAGAGAAAAGAACAUACAUGCAAUGAUUUAUGAUUAGAUAUAAUGCAUGCAUCCGUACCUGGUUUUUUUGAAACAUAGGCCCCAUCAUCUUCUUCUAGUUCCUGAAGCUCUUUCUUAAUACGAGCUUGCUUUUGAAGUCAUAUGCUGGAUUCAUCUCUCGCGUUGCCUCUUUUUACUGAUCAUAUUCUUGGAGAAUAAUUCUUUGAUUUUCUUCAAGUAGACAUUUUCUCAAAAUGUAUGACUUGUUAUUGCCUUUUUGUCAUGCUUUUGUCAAAUGCUUUAGCUUGGUUUUCAAAUUUGUUGGCUUCCGUAAUACUUUUAUAAAAACAUCUUGUAUUGCCUCCCAACGUAGGGGUGUGAUCCUAGUUUGGGCUUUUAUAUAGAGAAGAAAUGCGUUCAGCCGAUGCUAAAAAUUUUAAUAAGUGAUGAGAAUAACACCAAGACAUGCACUGUUUGGAUUAAUGCGAAAAUGAAUGUUGUGAGAUCAAUGCAAGAAGAAAGAAAUCAAUGGCCAAACUUUGCUUUAUUGAUUUAAGGGUUUACAUCAAGCAUAAUAUCUUUUCACAGAGUCAGAAUUCACAGGCCUAGCUAAGUCUUCUCCAUCCAUUCUAGCUAACUUCAAUGCUCCUCCUGAGAAUGCCCUUGUUACUACAUAAGGACCCUCGUAAUUUGGUGCCCAUUUGCUUUGAUCAUCUCCGGGUAGUGACAAUAUUUUCUUUAAUACUAAAUCCCCUUCUUGAAACAUCCGUGGCCUAACCUUCUUAUCAUAUGCUUUAGCCAUUCGUUUCUGGUAAAGCUGGUGGUGACAUAUUGCGGCCAUCCUCUUUCACUGAUCAGGUUCAGUUGCUCGUGUCUUACUUUGGCCCACUCGGCCUCUUCUAACUCUGAAUCUAUUAACACUCUUAACGACGGGAUUUCCACUUCCAAGGGCAUCACUGCCUCCAUACCGUAUACUAGAGAAUAUGGGGUAGACCCUGUCGAGGUUCGGACUGCGGUGCGAUAUGCAUGAAGGGCAAAUGGCAACAUCUCAUGCCAAUCCCUGUAGUUGACUACCAUCUUCUGAAUAAUCUUUUUGACAUUCUUGUUAGCAGCUUCUACCGCCCCAUUCAUCUUUGGUCUAUAUGGCGAAGAAUUGGAAUGCUUGAUUUUCCACUUAGUGCAGAGCUCUAUUAUCAUCUUGCCGUUGAAAUUUUGGGCAUUGUCAGUUAUAAUCUUUUCUGGUGGACCAUACCGACAUAUCAAAUCUCUCUCAAUAAACUUCUUCACCACUUUUUGCGUCACAUGAGCAAAUGACCCGGCUUCUACCCAUUUUGUGAAGUAGUCAAUAGCCACGAGGAUAAAUCUAUGACCAUUGCUCGCUUUUGGGUUUACAGGUCCAAUUACAUCAAUUCCCCACAUCGCGAAGGGCCAUGGAGAUGUUAGGUUAAACAGAGGAGCUGGUGGCAUAUUGACCUUGUCACUGUAAAUUUGACAUUUGUGACAUUUUCUGACAUAGUCUAUACAAUCUUUUUCUAGUGUCAUCCAAAAAUAACCAGCCCUUUGGAUUUUCCUUGCCAUCAUAUGUCCGCUAGCAUGGGUUGAGCAAAUCCCCUCAUGGACCUCUUUUAAUGCCCUUCUAGCAUCUGCCUCAUCCAAACACCUUAACAAGGUUCCAUCAAAUGACCUUUUAUAUAAAAUCUCUCCAUCUAAAUAGAAGUCUAUAGCCAACCUUCUCAAGGUUUUCUUAUCCGUCUUAGAAGCUCCCACCGGAUAUUCCUGAUUCUGCACCAGAUUCUUGAUAUCGUAAUACCAAGGUUGUCCGUCUAUCUCUCCCUCAACUAAACAACAGUGAGCUGGAUCAUUUCUAAUAUCAAUGUGUACCGGUUGUACCUUGCACUUGAGAUCAAUGGUAGUCAUAGCAGCUAAUGUGGCCAAAGCAUCCGCAAAAUGGUUCCCCUCCCUUCCCAGAUGGGUGAAUCUAAUUUCUUCAAAUUCCUUUGCUAGCAUGGAUAGGUAUUCCUGGUAAGGCCUCAACUUUUCUUCUUUGGUUUGCCAUUCCCCUUUUACCUGGCAAAUGAUCAACAUUGAGUCCCCAUAUACAUCUAUCUUCUUUAUUUUCAGCUCCAAUGCUGCUUCUAAACCGAGGAUACAAGCUUCAUACUCAGCUGUAUUGUUGGUGCACUCGAAGUGUAGUUUGACCGAAACGGGGUAUUGUUUCUUAUCAGGAGAGAUUAUUACCGCCCCUGCCCCGUUACCAUAUACAUUUACUGCCCCAUCAAAAAACAUGGUCCACCAAUCUGUCUUUUCUUCUUCCUUUUCUAUUGACAAUAUAUCUUCAUCAGGGAAAUCAAAAUCCAAAGGUUCGUAAUCUUCAAUAGCAUUAUCGGCCAGAUGGUCUGCGAUUGCACUCCCUUUUACGGCUUUCCUUGUCAUAUACACUAUGUCAUAUUCUGCUAACAAAACUUGCCACCUUGCAAUCCUACUUGAGAGAAAAGGCUUAUUACAAAUAUACCUCAGAGGAUCCACUUUUGAAAUCAACCAAGUGGUAUAGUAUAACAUGUAAUGUCUCAACCUCUUUGCCGCCCACACCAACGCACAACAGAGCCUUUCUAUCUCCGUGUAUCUGGACUCACAUUCAGUGAAUUUCUUACUCAAGUAAUAAAUAGCUCUUUCCUUCCUUCCGGUUUCAUCAUGCUGACCCAAUACACAACCCAUGGCUACUUCAGUAACGGUUAGAUAUAAUACUAGAGGUUUUCCUGAUACAGGAGGAACCAGUAAAGGUGGAUUUUGUAAAUAAUGCUUGAUUUUAUUGAAUGCCUCCUCACACUCCUCAUUCCAGGUUCCGGGAUUCUUUUUCCUUAGUAGCCGGAAUAUAGGCUCGCAUGUUGUUGUUAGCUGAGCUAUAAACCGAGCAAUGUAAUUCAACCUUCCCAAGAAUCCUCUUACUUCUUUCUCCGUCUUAGGGGACGACAUGGCCUGGAUGGCCCUUACUUUAUCCGGAUCCACCUCUAUACCUCUAUCACUUACCACAAAUCCCAACAGCUUGCCCGAUUUAACUCCGAAUGAACAUUUUGCAGGAUUAAGCCUUAGUUCAUACUUUCUCAACCUCUCAAAUAACUUCCUCAAAACUUCCACAUGAUCUUGUUCCUUUUUAGACUUGGCAAUCAUAUCAUCUACAUAUACCUCAAUUUCUUUGUGCAUCAUGUCGUGGAAUAGAGUCACCAUUGCUCUUUGAUAUGUUGCACCCGCGUUCUUUAACCCAAAUGGCAUGACCUUGUAGCAGUAGGUCCCCCAAGGUGUGACAAAAGUUGUUUUCGCCUUAUCCUCUAAAGCCAUUUUUAUUUGGUUGUAUCCUGAAAAACCGUCCAUAAAGGAAUAAGUGGAACUUCGGGCAGCAUUAUCCACUAAAACAUCUAUGUGGGGUAGAGGAAAAUCAUCCUUAGGGCUGGCCUUAUUCAAAUUCCGAAAAUCCACACAAACUCGAAUCUUCCCUUCCUUCUUAGGCACCACAACAAUGUUAGAUACCCAUUGUGGGGUAUCUAACUACUUCUAGAAAACCAGCAUCCCACUGCUUUUCGAGUUCUGCCUUGACCUUGAUCCAGACGUCUGGGUGGGCCCUCCUUAGCUUCUGCUUGACUGGCUUAUAACCUUCCUCCAACGGUAUCUUGUGUUCUACAAUACUUGUAUCCAAACCGGGCAUAUCUUCAUAGGACCAAGCAAAGACAUCUGAAUACUCUUGUAAUAGGGUGAUCAUUUUUAUCCUUUGUUCAGAAGUAAUUAGGGUACCUAUUUUCAACUCUUUCUUGAGCUGACCAUUGCCCACAUUGAUGGUUUCGAGUUCCUCGGUGGCAGGCUUCCAAGUCUGUUCCUGUUGUUCUACUAGCCUGGUGAAUUCACUGAUGUUGCUUUCAUCCCACUCUUCUUCUUCCAUAGCUAUUACAUGCUCGUUCCAGUUUGGCCAUUUAUUCUUGAUGUUAAAUGUAUGCGAUGUUGUUGGAGAUCCGCUUUCAGGAUUCCUGAAAGCGGGAAGUGCUUGGUGUAAAUGCAUAUAUAAAAAACAAUUUCUGAAAAAGUGCAUGAUCUCACAUUCAUUCAAAGGAAAAAGGUGGGCUCUAUGACAAAUAUAGAAUCUAGCUGACAUCAUGAGCCUUGAUUGUCAACUAGAGAAAACAAAAGCAAACAUAAGCAAUGACAAAAACAUGCUAAGGCAAACAAAGUUGGUUUACAUUUUGAAAACCACUGGAGCUUCUUGGGUCACCCAAUUCUGAAACUUUUCGCCUGGAGCCAACUUGCGCACAACGGUCUUGGCGGAGACUUCUUCUAGUGUAUGGAUCGUCAGCUGUGGUAGCACUUCAUCUUCUUUUCCCGCUACUGCUUUCACGUCAUCCCCUUUCUUCUCGUUUCCCUCCAAGGUGUUUAUGCUCAUAUGAGCCAGUUCUAUACCCAGGCUUUCAGCUCCCUUAUCAUGUUGCACUACGUAUGCAGCUCUUGGGAAUGAUAUGCUAAGGGGAGGGAUUUCUAAUUGUUCUUCUUCAAGAUCUCUUCCUUUGAUUCUAGCCAUCCUUCUUGCCCUUCUCCGAUUAGCAGCCCAACGAUAAUCCUCUUGGUUAGGUUGAUAUCCUAACCCAAAUCUUUGAUCAGCCUUUCUCUUUCUUGUCGGAUUAGCCCCUUCUGGUAUUCCGCAAGCGAGGUUAUAUUGACGUGGGACCCCACGGUUCAAGAAGCAUAGACUUGCCAUCCUUGUUGCUUCUGAAAUCCUUGGCCUUCUUAGCACGGUGUUCUCCGGCACCCAGUCGGUGUUCACGAUCUCAAAAGCAUGGAUAUUGCCAUCCUUGCAAUCCUCCGCUUCGAUGAAAGGCACAGCCACAUUCUUUAUCAUGGAUAUUGCCUCCUCAGCCUUGACAGUUACCAACAUCCCAUUCAUGAUGUACUUCAGGCAUUGGUGCAAUGACGAAGUUACUGCCCCCGCCGCGUGAAUCCAAGGUCUUCCCAACAACAUGCUAUAGGAAGGGUGGAUAUCCAUAACCUGAAGUGUCACUAGGAACAUUUGCGGUCCCACAUAUAGCUCCACUUCUAAAGUCCCAAGUAUUGGCCUAGGUGAGCCAUCAUAUGCUCUGGCCAUCAUAGUACUUGGCUUCAUAUGCGAUUCAUCAAUCGGCAUUUCCUCUAGAAUGUGCUUUGGCAGUACGUUGAGGGCCGAGCCAUUAUCGACGAGCACCUUCCCUACAAGACAGUCUUUGCACCUAACAGUAAUGUAUAAAGGCUUGUUGUGUCCGGUACCUUCGGCAUCAAGCUCAUCAGCCGUGAAGUAGAGGUAAUUAGUUGCAUGGAUCCUCCCUACUAAAUGCUCCAUGGUUUUAUGCUCAAUGUCUUGAGGUACAUAUGCCUCAUUCAAUACCUUUUGCAAGGCAUUUCGAUGCGGCUCAGAGCUGAGUAUCAAGGACAUAAGGGAGAUUCGCGCUGGAGUCUUUUUUAGUUGAUCCACUAUGCAAUAUUCGCUAUGCUUGAUCAACUUCAAAAACUCAUUCGACUCCUCUUCCGUUACUGGUUUAUUAACUUCGGGAGCUUUGUCCAGAUCUACCACCUCCUUACCCUUUUCCUUCCUCCAUUCUUCAGGCGUAAAGCAACGACCACUCCUGGUCAAACCACUUAUCUCCGUCUGGAACAAAGGAAGAGGCGCUCGAAUGUCGGAGGCAUACCCAUAAUUAUACGGCAUGGCAUUGUGAUUCUCUUUUGUGCAGGACGGUUUAAUCAAGAUCAGCCUUGGGGGCCCAUUAGCAGUCUGUUGGAUCCGGCAAACUCCUGCCAUCUCAUCUUGGCCUUCCAUCAUGCUCACUUCGUACCUGCUCUCCAUGGGUUCAAUCCUCAAUUGUCCCAUCUUCAACAUUUUUGCGAUCUUUUCGCAAAACUUUGCGCAAUCCUCAAUGUGAUGUCCAUCUCUUCCGUGGAACUCACAGUAGUCACCUCUCCCCGAUUGCCUUACCGCCUUUGCCUUUAGAAAUCCUGAUUGUACUAACAUGUCGUACAACCUUUUCAUCGGCACCUUCAACACCUUGCCUUGAUUUCCCACUUCGAUCAUGCCUAUUCCACCACUAUUUGGAGCAUGCUUAGGCAAUGGGUUUGAAUUAACAUUGGGCUUGUCUUCAAAGGAUACCCAUCCCGCCCUAAUAAGCUCUAAUAACCUCUUUUUGAAGGCAUAGCAAGUUUCAAUCCCAUGCCCGGGAUUACCCCCAUGGUACUCGCAAGACAACUCAGGCUUGUACCAAAUUGGGAAUGGUGGUUGUAAUGGUAGUGUAGGGAUAGGAGCUACUUGUCCAAUGCUCAACAGCUUGGCAUACAUGUCCUUCAAUGGCAUGGGUAAAGGCGGCAGUUGUUCUGAAGUGUAUCUUGGGUGUGGUCUUUGGUAGUGAUCUUGGUAGUGAUUUUGGUAGUUUGGCUGGUUAUUUGUUCGGUUAGGUGAAAAAGAUUGGUUAAAGUUUAUGCGUGAGACUUGAGCGGUAGGUGCUUGUGGACUACGGAAAUUUACUUUCUUGCCUUUGUACCCGUCCUCCAAAUUGUUGACGUCCCCUUCUCUUUUCCUUCCAACAAAACCUUUCUUCUCUAAAGGCUCCGCUAUGCGCCCAGCUUUAAUUCCUUGCUCUAUUCUUUCGGCCACGCGUACAACAUCAUAGAAAUGUUGAGAUGAGCUACCCAUUAAAUGCUCAUAGUAAGGUGCCUUGAAUGUAUUGGCGAACAAAGUCACCAUCUCUGUUUCUAUUAAAGGGGGUUGCACAUGCGUGGCCUCGUCUCUCCAUCUUUGCGCAUAAGCCCUCACUGACUCUUGGCUUCUCUUUUCGAGUGACAUGAGGCUCGUUCGAUCUGGAGCGAUUUCUAAAUUGAACUUGUAUUGCUUUAGGAAAGCCUCCACUAAGUCCUUCCAUUUCUUAAUCUUGACAUUAUCCAGCCUCAUGUACCAACUUAACGCAGAUCCUUGCUAGACUGUCUUGGAAAAAGUAGAUCAUUAACUUAUCGUCAUGAAUCACCUCAGCCAUCUUAUUGCAAUAAGAUCGAAGGUGAGUGUUUGGGCAUUCCAACCCAGUGUACCUUAUAAACUCCGGUAUCCUAAAAUCUUUUGGCACCGUGAGGUUUGGUACCAAGCAUAUUUCCGACGCUCGCAUGGGGUCAAACCAAUCAUUUCCCUCGACUGCUCUUAACCUUUCUUCUAAUGCUGAUAUUUUGUCCUCGUUCACAGAACCAGUGGACCUAUUAUCGGAAGGCCCCUCAGCUGUUAAAUCUACAGUGAUGCGAGCUUGAGGGGGCUGAAUGGGAAUAGCCGGUGCAAAGUGCUGCCCCGUCGCUGAAUCUGCCCCCAAGUUCUGAGAUAACCCCAGGACAGGAACUGGCGGUGCUCCUAUAGGUGGUUGGGUAGACGUUCCCUCUCCGUUCUUGGUUCUUAACAGUUGCUCAAGCAGACUGGUCAGUCGAGAAACUUCAUUUUUCACUAAUUCCAACUCGGUCUGGUAGUGCGACUCUAAUUGAGCUCUUUCCUCGUUUUCCAUUCUUGAUCUUGACCGGGUUUGGUGGACUCUGGAUAUGGGACCUAUGUUUCACGAUCUGGCAUGCAUAUGAUGAAUUAAAAACAAAAUGUGUGAUGAGAAUGCGAUGCAUAUGUAAUGUGUAUAUAUAUAUAAUAUAUUAUGAGCUGAUUCAUGACUUUCGUAACCUUUAACAAGAUUUCUGAGUUGACCGGAUUACCAUAAAGGAGGGUUUGCCAAGUUCUUAUCAUAGUGGCUUACUCAACACAUUAAGAAAGGAAAUACGUCAUGGACUUCUUAUAAAUAACAUAAUUGCUCAUACAAAACAAUAAUGGAAAAGAGAAGUCCUAUACAUUGCUACUUCUAAAAGGCAUUUCCCCUAUUAGCUAAAUCCCUAAUAAAACAGACCAUGGCCCCCAUGUAUUCUCGAUACUUUGAACCGUCAUUUCCAACUUCGGUGGCUUGCUGUUGCAACCUUUCUGCACAAUGGGCUACGUGCUCCACCUGUUUUGACAUAUGUCUUAUCUUAUCAUGGAAUACAGCGUUAUCUCCGAUUAUUGCUUCGUUGCUGGCUCCUAAUGCUUCAUUGCUUCUUUCCAAUACUCGCACCAUACCCUCUGAUUGUGCCAACUUAUCUCUUGUCCUCUGUAGUUCCUCCUUUUCGAUGUCCAGCUCUGCUAUUUUGGAAUUGAGUUGAACUGUGAAGCUGUCCAUGUAGUCUUGGCAUUCUUGACGCUCUUGCUUAACCUUGCUCAUCUCUUCUUCCAUCUCGAAGUAGUGGCUUCUCAACUCCCUAAACUCUUCUUCUCGUACUUCGAUCUCCGAUUGUAACGCCCUCAUCCUUCCUUUUGAAGACUCAGCUCUCUUCUGGUAAUCUCUCAUGUCAGACUCAGCGGCCCUUCUCGCAUUUCUUUCUUCCUCUAAUUGCACCAUGUAUUGAGCUCUAACCUUCCUUUCUUCUUCUAUGUCUAGGUUGGCUAGACGAUUCUUCUCCUUUUCAUCUUCUAUUUUCUUUAAAAGAAGUUUCCUUCCCUUCUUCAAAGAAUCCAUCAUCUCCUUAUCCACAUUCACGCCUUUUGUUGACCUCUUAACCUUAGCCAAUUCUUCUUCCGCUACCCCAUUCUUCUUGACCAACUCGUCAUAAUCAGCUAUUCGAUUCCUUAACUCAACCUGGACCCCCGUUGUUACCUCUUCAGCUACCUCGGCCCUUUUCUGCCAUUCCUUUAGAGACAUUAGUUGUUUCUCUUGUUUUUCUAACCGCUGAUUCAAGAAAACCCUCAUCGUAUUUUCCUCCUCGAGCUGGUUCUCUAGCAGUUGUUGUCGCCCCUUGCUUUUGCUGAGUUCUAUUAUACAUUGAUCUAAUUGUUUUUCUUAGAUCUUCUUCGUCAUCCUUUCUUUUCCUUUUCUGUGGUUCUAUCGCUGCCUCUGGCUGUUCUUGUGUAGAGAGACCCUUCGCUGCAGAAAAAUCUUCAUUCCUCCAAACUGUAUAAUUAUGGCUGAAUGAGGUUUCAAAACUACUUCCUUCUUCUCUUUUUACCUUCACGGGCCUUUCCCAAUCCUGUCGGAUAAGCGCCAUUUCUUCUAUGAACGGUUGGUGCUUGAAUAACCCAAUAAAAUCAGCUAAACCCAAGGUUCUUGGCGUAUAUUGCAUUCCGCCCAACUGCCUUGUUACGAGGGCGGGCGCAUAGCUGAUGUAACCAGUUACACCAAUUAGAGGAACCCAUAUCUUGCUUCCGCAGCUCAUUGUGCAAAUAGCGUUGUUCAUCCACGGCGCUUUCCAUUUGAAGUUGCUACUUGGCAAUGCUGCAUACUUAUCCCUCCAUGCUUUCUCAUCCCAAUUCUUCCAAGUCUCAUCUAUGGUAAUCUUUAGCGGUCGCAAGUCAAACCACCAAAAGUUGUUGAAGAUGUCUCUCGGUGCUUCGAUAUGACUAAUUAUCCAUAGGUACAACAUAGGGACGCAGCAUCUCAUAGCUCCUUUUCCAUGUGUCCGGCAGUGACUAAGAGAUAACAUGGUUUCCCCCAAGAUGGCUGAGGAAGGAUUGAUCCGGUCACGCUCAUACUCAACGAAGACACUUGCUGCUUCUAAACUGAUGACCCCAGUUUCAGAAGGGAACAACACUAGCCCAAAAAUAGCGAAGGCCACCAACCUAUAUCGCUCGUCUCCCAACUUGCCUUCUUCGGCAUUUUUCCUCAUUCGGGCUUCAAUGACCUUCCAUUUAAAACCCCCUUCAGCAACUCUACACUGGCUGAUCUUUCCUAAACUUAAUAAGCUGAUUACUUCCGAAGCUGUGUCUUCAAAUCUGCGUCGGUGGUAGAUUCGGUGGCUAUCAUUUGGAAAGUCCAGAAUUCUCUCAUAUUCUUCCAAAGUGGGUGUCAUAUCGAUGUUUCCAAAGGUAAAACACCGAUAACUCGGAUCCCAAAAAUGCAGAAGGGGCUUUGAUCGCCGCUGCUUGUACAGGUAACCUCAUUAUCUGUGUAAUUCUCCCAUAUCGCCUUUCAAACAAAGUCUCAUCGACAUAUUCCAUGAUAGGCAGCAACUUUCCUAAGUCGUUUACCAUGUGAUUUACCUUGGUAAUGCAUGGUAAACCACUAGUAUCGAUUCUUGGGCAUUUUCCUUCGGCAAUCUGAGCCAACUCAGACUCUUGUCCAUAUUCUUGGAAAGAGAGGUACUUAGUCAUGAUUUCAGCUCAAAAACCUGGGUAGAUGAAUUCAACAGUAUUAAACGUGAUGCAAAAUGAAAGUAAGAUUCACAACCUAAGGACAAGCUCUAAUUAUCAAGUGAGAAUGGGUAGUUUUUCUAUCUGGUCUUGAAGGGUCUCAUAUCUGCCCAGUGACGUUCUUCGUAAAGAAGUAUGGGGGCGUUGCAAGGAACAGUUAAGACACGUAUGCCCACCAUUACCAAGCAGGCACUCAGAUAUGAGUUGGGUGUUUCACGCAUUUAAACCCUGACCAAUAGUCUUAGGGUAAAUCGCUAAUUCCCCACUUAACUUAAAGCUUGUGUGUGCUUUUUAAAAUUAAAGCAAGUGAUGCAUGAGACAAUUGUAUAGAAUGCAUGAAUAAUAUGAAUAAAAUAAAAUAAAUACGCAAAUAAAAGGACAGGCAUAUUAACAAUAAACACCCAAAAAAACACAAACAAAUCAGACAAAAACAAAGCUUAGUCUACAAGGUCCCCAGUGGAGUCGCCAUUCUGUCGCACGUAUGCGGCGUCGCGGCGAAAAACUAAGUUUUCCAUUUUUAAAACCACAAUGUAAUAUAUAUAUGGGGAUACGAGAAAAAUAUUUUUUUUUGGUAAAAAUGGAAUGGGAGUCGCCACCUAGUAUUUUGGUCACUAGGAACCCUAACUGGUCUCAGAGAUCGGGUACGGGGACUGGUUGCGUAAAGGGAAGGUAUUAGCACCCCAAUACGCCUUACCUAAGGUAAGCUGCAUUGUUUAUUGUCUGAUAAAACUAUGGUGUUUUUUUUUUCUAGUCGUUGGUCUGUCUAUGGUUCAAGAAAAAUCCUCCUCAGUAAGAAGGUCUUUUAUCUUAUCGGGUAAAAACUUAACCGUUCUAACGUCUACCAAAAAAAUAAUAUUUAGGAAUACGUUUUACGUAUAAAUUCGUAAUCCCAAAUACUAAAAGAAAACAAAAAGAUUUUUUAGAAUUUUUGAAAUAUUGGCCUAGUUCUCAUGGCUUAAAUAAACUGGUUAUUCAAGCCAAAAUGCAUGCUAAUACAUAUAUUGUUUUGAAAAUUUUCUUUGUUGUGUAAAAAAUGAUGUUAUAAUAUUUAUAUCUAUAUAUAUGGAGAGACUAAGCCGUAUUUUAAAGACAAAAACAAUUUUUGAAAAUAUUAUUAUUAUUAAUUCUUUUUUUUUUGCUUUUUUUGACGUAAAUCGGGUAUUUAAAUACUGAGCUUGUAUCCUUACGGUAUAAAAAUACAACCCAAUAUUAUUCCACCUUAAUAAAAAAUGCAGAAAAAUCAAACAACAUUUUUAGGUAUUUUUAGAAAUUUUUUUGAAAGCAAAAACAUUUUUUAUUCGAAAAAUCUUUGAUAUUUUUACGAAAACCGGGUAUUUUUAACACUGGUUUGAUAUCUUUACAGUAUAAAAAUACCAACCAACAUUAACCCAUUUUGACAAAAAUAUUCAGGGAAAUCAACAAUAUUUUUUAAGAUUUUUCGAAAUAUUUUUUUUUUAGUAAAAAAUAUACACAAUAUACACACAUAUAUAUUACAAUAUACUAUAAUUAAUAAUAUAUUUAUAAUAAAAAUUCGGGUUGGGCGGACCAAAUGAAUGGGCCGAACCCAACCCAGCCGGAAUCGGGCCCAACAUCAGCCCGAAACAGGAGUGGGCCGAUCGCAGCCCAGCAAAAGGCUGGGCCGAUCUCGGCCCGCAAGGAGGUUGGGCCGAUCUCGGCCCAACGAAAGGCUGGGCCGAUCUCGGCCCGCAAGGAGGUUGGCCGAUCGGCCCAACGAAAGGCUGGGCCGAUCUCGGCCCGCAAGGAGGUUGGGCCGAUCUCGGCCAACGAAAGGCUGGGCCGAUCUCGGCCCGCAAGGAGGUUGGGCCGACUCGGCCAACGAAAGGCUGGGCCGAUCUCGGCCCGCAAGGAGGUGGGCCGAUCUCGGCCCAACGAAAGGCGGGGCCGAUCUCGGCCCGCAAGGAGGUUGGGCCGAUCUCGGCCCAACGAAAGUGGGCCGAUCUCGGCCCGCAAGGAAGUGGGCCGAUCUCGGCCCACACAAGGCUGGGCCGAUCUCGGCCCGCAAGGAAGUUGGGCCGAUCUCGGCCCAACACAAAAAACAUCUUUAGCCUGGGCCAGACUCGGUCUGGCCCAAAAUGAAUAACAACAAAACUGGGCCGGAAACCCGGCCCAGUGUUAAAAAAAACUCAGCGGGGAAGGGAAAACAAUUCCCUUCCCCUACCUCCUGCAUGCAGAACGAUUCUGCAUGCAGGAGGACAAACAGAAAAAAAAAGUGCAGGGGGUGGAGGAAAUACCUGGCACGGCGGAGGAAAUACCCGUGUUGAUGGUGCUGCAGCAAAGUUGGUGGCUCCCAAGCGACGGUGCUUAACAGUCGGGUGUCCUCUCGGGUCGUGUCGGUUAACGUUUUCUCUAACUCUCCCCACGGCUUCAGUCUUCUUCCCCUCCUCCCCGUGCUGUUUCUUCGAGUUUUAGGUGUUUAGUUCUACUGUUUAAGUCGUCUCUCUCUCCUCCAGUUUCUCUCUCUCUCUUGGUCUCGGUCUCCCCUUUUUUCUCCUCUUUUUCCCCCGUGCUUCACAUCUUUCCUCUUCUUUUAUAGGCGGGCAAAGGAGCGGGGCUGCAUGGGCAGCGUGGGGAGCAGAACAAGGUGGGUCGAGCUGGGCAACGUGGGGGGCAGCGCCGGUCGGCUGGUCGGUGAGCGUGGUCGAUCACGGCGUGGCCCUCCUGGCUUCGCGUCGUCCGAGGUGCAUGGGCCUGGUCUGUCAGUGCACGUGAGGAGAGAGGGGCACCGGUUGAUUAAACAACGGUUUCGUCCAUGCUGCUGCACGUUCGGGGAGGAAGAAGAAAGGGAACAGUGCCGUUCAAAACGGCACCGUUUGGUCCCUUUUUUUUUUUUUUUUUUUUUUUUUUUUAAAAUAUAUGAAACGGCGUCGUUUUGGGGAAAACGCGCCGUUUCAUUUAAAAAAAGGCGCCAGAAUACGCAAAAUUUCAACUCAGCCCUCAAUUAUCUUUUGAUUCCUUCAAUUGCGUCCCUGCCAAUUUCGGUCCUCGCCCCCAUAGUUGGCCGCGUUUUUCAUCUUGGUCCUUGGCCUCUGAUUUAUGCAAUUAAGCCCUCAAUUGACCAAUAAACUCCAAUCUUCAAUUACGCCCCUGAUCAAUCAAGACAGCCCUCUAUUUACCGCGCGUGUUCCAAAUUGGUCCCUGGUUUCGGAUUUUCACAAUUAAGCCCCUAAUUGGCCAUUAAACUUCAAUAUUUAUGCAAUUAAGCCCCUGAUUUGGCCUAAUAAAUUCCAAAAAAAUAUAUUUUGGCCCCAGAACUUAAAUUUCUCCCAAUUAAAACCCAAAUUGACCUAAAAAUAAAUUUUUCUUGCACUCCAAUCCUCUAUAAAUUCAAAUAAAAUCCAAUUAAGUCCCUAAACAUCCAAAUUUGGGCUUUUCUCCUCAAAAAUUCAAAUUUUCCUUCUCAACAGGGCUCUCAUCCUUCAAGAAAAUAUUGCCAAAAAUCCAAUCUCUGUAUUUUUAACCUCCGUGACCAAUCUUUCGACCAUUUUCUGAGCGCUUAUGCCUCCUGUUAUUUUUUCUAACCUUCUUCGGCUAUUUAUUUAUUAUUAUUUUUUUGUGGGGAUCCAAAAAUGGGUUACAACAAUAAUAUACAAAACGGACAUCUAGUUCUUGUUCGUAAAUUCAAAAUCAAAUGGUGGGAUUCUUUCAAAAGUUCCAAAUUAGCUGUUACAGAAUGGUUACAAAAACAUCAAAGAACUCCCAUCAUUGAUCAUCAUCCUCAAUCAAAGUUUCUAGCUAGAAAGGCUCAAACGGCAGCUCUCCUUACCUUUGCUAGAACUGAAGAAGAAUACCUACAAAUAGUUCAAAGCAUUAUACAAAGCCAAGACCAGAAAACGGUCUUGUCCCAAUCCAGCUCAUCUAGAUCGAUAUCUCCUGUCAUUUCCCUUGGAGAUGAUAAUGAAGAUGAUUGUUUUGGUAUCCUACCACCUAUCAAGCAACAUUAAAAAAAAAAGAGUAUUUUUCAAGCUUUCUCAGGCUCAUCUGUUUAGAGCCAUAUCUUUUCGACUCACCUGUUUUAAGUUCUUUUUUAUUUUAAGCCCAUUUGUUUUAGGCUUUCUUUUACAAAUAUUACCUACUACUACAAACAAACAAUCCAGUGUCGGUGGCAAGAAGACAACAGAUGAAAGUCCCAUAAAAAACAUGGGCAUUUUCCAUUUUGUCGUCACCCAAUCAUGGCAGGCAAUACCACAUGGGUUCACAGCAAUACCACAUGGGUUCUGAUGGAAUCUUCAAGCUUUCCCAACAAGACAUUUUGGCCUCUUCCAUGUCAACUCGUCUAUAAAAGGGGACUCCUAAAUCUUUAGAAGGCAGAGUAUCAUUUUCCCUGAUAAAAUUUUAUUCUCCCUUGUAACCCAUACCUGUAACCUAUAUCCACUCUCCUAUGUACCCAAUAUCUCUUGUAUUAAUUUACAUUACAAAUUUAAAUACGACUCUAUUUUCAUUAUUUACAUUCUUGUUAUAUUUUAUGUAUGUUAAGUAUGCUCUGUGUUUAAUCAAGGAUCCUGACAUUGUUGGUCUUGCCUUGUUCAUUCACAUCAGAAAUAUGUUUAUAUUAUAUAUUUCUUUGAUCUUUUCAUAAAACAGCAUAUAGGCUGGAAACUUGUGACCUGAUCUUUUAGAUCAUUCUUAGGUAUAACAACGCCACGUACUGAGUAUUUCUUUUCAUAUUUUGGUGUGUGUGUGUGUGAGAGAGAAAGAGAGAGAGAUAAAAUUAAGACCAUUGAGGUUAUUUUUUAGGCUUUGACUCUUUUUCUUUAAAGCUUUGACGUUUAGGGGUGAGCAAAAAAUCAAAUAACCAAUUAAAUUGAGAAAACCAGAAAAAAAAAUCAAACCAAGACAAAAAACUGAAUUAAUCGAUUAGAAAAUGAUAAAAAAAAAAUCGGUUUAGUUUGGUUUCCAAAGUCUGAAACCUAUUGAAUCGAAUCGGUUCAAUUAGGUCAGCACUUGAAAAAAAAAACAGGUAUAAAUAAGAUAUUUUUUUCUAACCCUAAACCUAAAUCGGUAUUCCCAACCGCCCCCUCCCUUUGCUCCGCCUCUCUUUAUCUCUCGUCUCUCUCAAAUUGCCUCCUUCUCCUCCGUGCUCCAUAACUAUUAAAAUAUAUGCUCCUCUAUCCUCUCGAUCAAAGGCACACUUGAAAUUAGAUAGUUUUAGAAAGGAAAGACAUAAGAGGAAUUGAAAUCACUGAACUAAAAAGAAAGGGUAUAUAAGCUGAAUAAAAGGUUAACAUAAAAGUUCUCAAAAAGAGAAAUGUUGAGAGGGAGCUUAACCAGCUAAAACAAAAGGAAAAGUGACUUCUACCACUUAACGAAGAUAAAGAUGGAUGGUUAGGAUCUAUAAACUUUUUGUAAUUGGUUUCCUCUCAUUCAUAUAAUAAUGAUUUGAUAGUUUUACAUUUCAAUAACUUUUGAUCUCUCUUUUUUUUUUUUCGCAACCAAAUUACUUCAUUUCUUUUAUUUUCUUUUCUUUUGUUUCGUGUAUCUUUUUGCGAAGUUUAAUUUUUGGGCAAGGAUCUAACAAAAAAAAAUAUUAAGAUUGAUUUUCUGAAUAUCAUACAUGCCUAAUAGCUUUAAGAAAAAGUCAUACUUGUUGAAAAAACCAAGAUGUCUUGGAAAAAUAUGGCUAAUAAAAAAACUUAGAAAAAAUUCAACCAAAAUAAUUUUGGUUUAAACCGGUUUGGAAUAAAAAAAACCCAAAUUAAACCGAAUUAAAACUAAUCAAUUUAAAAUAAUUUUUAAUUUGAAUAAAAAACUUUUAAAAAAAUUAAUUAUUUAUUUUAAUUCAAAACCGUACACGACUGAAAAUGCUCAGCCCUAUUGACGUUCGUGGUUUUGAGGGUGAGAGAAAUGGAAAGUAAAGGGGAAAGAGAAGAGGGUUGCUAAGAUGGAAACCACUUAUUUGAUCUACAGGGGUUCCAUUCUGAUAUUACCAAAUUUCCACGACAGAUGAAAUCACAUAUAAGCCCCUCAAUUAUUACAAAAUGUCAAAAAAAAAACUCAUAAAACCAUCCCAAACUACUAGAUAUUUAAAGUACAGUGAACAGAGACACAAAGGAGAAAAUAAUAUUGGACUCAUUAAAAACUAAUAAGAAUUCUGCUAAAAAAAUUAUUAUUAUUUCAUGUUUCUAUCUUUUAAUUAUAUUGUGCAUUUUUUUUUAUUUGGUAAUUUUAGAACGCUGUGAUAUUGCAUAAAGGGUUUGUGUUAAUCGUUAUUCUCUUGUGGAGCAAAAAGUAAAGCAAGCAUGGGCAGGAGGACAGCUUCUUGCUCUCUGUUUCUGUUUUUCACUCUUUUCACAACCUUGCAGAGUCCAAUUCUGGCUGCAAAAAAGGCAAGCUAGCAUGCAUUAAUGUUGUCUGAUCGUUUAGUCUUUCAAGUUACAUUUGCAAUCUAUCUUAUGUUAUAAUUCUGCUACUGACAGUGAUACCGGUGUCUGUGUACGUACAGUCUUAUGUGGUUUACCUUGGGAGACAAUCUUAUGCUUCUGAACCUUCCACCACUGACCUGGAUAGGGUAGCCGAUGCCCAUCAUGAACUUUUGGGUUCUUGUAUGAAGAGGUGAUGCAGUGCUGAGAAUUUCAGAUCUGUGAUCCAUGGUGUAUUUGGUUGUUCUAAUACUGAUGAUCAAGUUUGAAUUCGUUAUGACAGCAAGGAGAAGGCGAAACAAGCCAUCUUUUACUCCUACACUCGUUAUAUUAACGGUUUUGCAGCAGUACUGGAAGAUGAAGAAGCAGCUGAAAUUUCAAGUAUAUAUAAUACUAUUAUAAUUGUUCAGCAUGUAAAUCGUGAAAUCCUUGAUAAUAUUACAAAUAUGGUCUUGUUAAUACGUUUUCAGAGCAUCCAGAAGUUGUAUCAGUUUCUCGAAACCAAAUAAGGCAAUUACACACAACAAAUUCUUGGGGCUUUCUUGGACUGGAAAGAAAUGGAGAAAUUCCAGCUGAUUCUAUGUGGCUAAAGGCAAGAUUUGGUGAAGACGUAAUUAUCGGGACCCUUGAUAGUGGUAAUUAUAAUUUUACAUGUCUGUGUACAUGCAUAGAACUGGUCAAGUCUCCUUCAUAUCAUUUCAUCUUCUUAAUUUAAAUGCAUUCAAUUAUUUUGGACCAGGUACAGCUACCUUGCAUCUGAAAGAAAAAUCUCCAAUGAUGGUUAAUUUUCAAUCUAUUAUUCUUGACUGUGCAUGAUGCUAGGUGUUUGGCCAGAAUCCAAAAGCUUCAAUGAUGAAGGGAUGGGGCCUGUUCCAUCUAAAUGGAAGGGAUACUGUGAUCCAAAUGAUGGGAUUAAAUGCAACAGGUACUUUAAUUUCUUUCUCAAGGCCAGAGCUCUUUUCUUGACCUGAACUACUCAUUUUGCCUCUGAUAAUGAACCGCAGACAAAUUCUUCCGUUUCCUAUAGUAAGAUUAGUAACAUAAAAGAUAUGUUGUUAUUAGCAGGAAACUUGUAGGAGCAAGGUACUUUAGCAAAGGCUACGAAGCAGAAACACAUGAUUCUUCAUACCACACCCCGCGAGAUUAUGAUGGCCAUGGAACCCACACUCUAUCCACUGCUGGAGGUCGUUUUGUUUCGGGGGCAAACUUGCUUGGUUCAGCUAAUGGAACAGCGAAGGGUGGUUCGCCCAACUCGCGAGUCGCUUCAUACAAGGUCUGCUGGCCCCUCUGUAGCGAUGCUGAUGUGUUGGCUGGCUUUGAAGCUGCUAUUCAUGAUGGGGUCGAUAUCCUCUCAGUGUCACUUGGAUCCGGUCCGGGAGAAUACAUUACUGAUGGGAUUGCAAUUGGAGCAUUUCUUGCUAUGGAGCGCGGGAUUCUUGUGGUUGCCUCGGCUGGAAAUGAAGGACCUGACCCUGGAGUCGUUGGGAAUGUAGCUCCCUGGAUUCUUACAGUUGCUUGUAGCACUAUCAGUAGGGAGUUCACAUCUAAUGUCAUCCUUGGAAAUAACAAACACUACAAGGUUUGUUCUGUAAGCUCAUAUCUUUAGCAAGUCCUUUUAAAUUGUUCUACCUAUCAUGGGAUCCAAGAAUUUGCUAUAUUAAUUUCUAGAUAAUCAGGGUAUGAGUUUUAAUACCAACACUCAACCAGCUGGGAAGUUUUACCCCUUGAUCAAUUCGGUGGAUGCUAAAGCUGCCAAUGUUUCCAGUAAUCAAGCGUAAGCAGCAAACUAAUUUUGUUCUCAGCCAAAAUUACAUUUUCUGUAGUUGUCAGGUUCAUAUUUCUUAUCUUGUUGUCUUUGGCAGAAAAUAUUGCUCCAUCGGAUCCCUUGACCCCUUGAAAGUUAAAGGAAAAAUUGUAUAUUGUACUCGCAACGAAGAUCCUGAUGUAGAAAAGAGUCUGGUUGUUUCUCAAGCUGGUGGUGUUGGGGUGAUACUUGCUAACCGAUUGAUAAUUCAACAAAUCCGACCUUGGUGUUGGGGUGAUACUUGCUAACCGAUUGAUAAUUCAACAAAUCCGACCUCGGGCACACUUUGUUCCUACUUCCGUUGUCUCUGCAGACGAUGGACUUUCCAUUUUAACUUAUGUUUAUAGUACAAAGUAAGGUCUAUGUAAUAGAUAAUUCAGACAAUUAAACUCGGUUGAUUUCAGUCGAUAAUGCGCUGAACAAUCUAUCGUUUGCGAUCCUGUGAAUCUCUUGGAACUUCUCCUUUCACUCAGGUCACCUGUAGCUUACAUAAGUGGCGCCACGGAGGUGGGAACAGUGGCUGCACCUGUCAUGGCUGAUUUUUCAUCUCCUGGGCCUAACUUCAUCACCCCAGAGAUCCUUAAGGUACGUACUCUUAACAGUUUCAAAUGAGCGUUUUAAAAUACAUGCUCAAUAUUAUUUUUAUAGUGAGAGUGCAUCUGCUGAUUUCAGCCCGACAUCACCGCACCUGGAGUCAAUAUUCUAGCUGCCUUCACCGGAGCAUCAGGGCCAACUGAUGUGCCAGGAGACCGGCGCCGAGUACAUUUCAACUUUUUAUCUGGAACCUCAAUGGCAUGCCCCCAUGUUUCCGGAAUCGCUGGUCUUCUCAAGACUAUGCACCCUGAUUGGAGUCCUGCUGCAAUUAAAUCUGCAAUCAUGACAACGGGUUAGUGCUUUUCUGCUCUUCGCAUUAGCAUCUUCAAGUUAUUGGUGGACGAGUCAUUGAUACCUUGAGUGCUUGCUUACGACAUUUCAGCGACAACGAUCAGUAAUGUGAAGCAGCCUAUCGCGAAUGCUUUUCUUCUUGAGGCAAACCCAUUGAAUUAUGGUGCCGGGCACAUCUGGCCUAGCCGUGCAAUGGACCCAGGCUUGGUCUAUGACCUAACGACUAAAGAUUACGUGAAUUUUCUAUGCUCCAUUGGCUAUAACUCAACCCAGUUGUCACUUUUUAUUGGGAAGCCAUACAUAUGCCCGUCGCAGAACAAUGGCCUGCUGGAUUUCAACUAUCCAUCCAUUACUGUCCCGAAUCUCUCAAGCAAUAAGACCACGUUGUCCCGAACCUUGAAGAACGUGGGGACUCCAAGCUUGUAUAGAGUUAAUAUCAGGGCACCUGGAGGCAUAUCUGUGAAGGUUGAGCCAAGAAGCUUGAAGUUCGAUAAGAUAAACGAAAAAAAAAUGUUCAAGGUCACUCUAGAGGCUAAGAAAGGGGUUAAGAGUGAUGACUAUGUGUUUGGAGAGAUAACCUGGUCUGAUGGGAAACACCAUGUGAGGAGUCCUGUUGUGGUGAAGAACAUGGAAGUAGCAGCCUAAGAUUGAAGGACAAUGACCAGGCGUCUGGAUUUGUAGGUGGAAGGCCAGCGUGUAGAGAUCUAUGUAUCUCCAUGGUCAACAAAUCGAUCUUCAAAUUCCCGUUCCAUGCCAUGACAAA
RNAcentral lists this long non-coding RNA (46029 nucleotides) under Populus tremula. Its description in RNAcentral is "long non-coding RNA (PTRE_LNC002662)". Lineage: Eukaryota; Viridiplantae; Streptophyta; Magnoliopsida; Malpighiales; Salicaceae. The record is from RNAcentral.